RNAcentral lists this long non-coding RNA (65804 nucleotides) under Malus domestica (apple). RNAcentral's name for it is "long non-coding RNA (MDOM_LNC011978)". The record is from RNAcentral. Lineage: Eukaryota; Viridiplantae; Streptophyta; Magnoliopsida; Rosales; Rosaceae.
AUGAAGCAAAACUCAUUUAUUAAUUUCUUUGAAAAUUUACAGAAAUGUACAUUUUACAUCGGUAAAAAAAAAAAAGGAGCAAACAGGAGGGAGCCUUCACGAAGGUUGCUCGUGUGAAGCCUCACCACUCGGCGAAGCUCCAGGAAGAAGAGGCACCGGAGGUUGACUGUUUGAAGCCUCACCACUCAGCGAAGCUCCAGGAAGAAGAAGCACCGGAGGUUGACUGUUUGGAGCCUCAACACUCGGUAAAACUCUAGAGGACGAUGGUCACUCUGAAUCCGACCUUCAGAUUUCUGCAACUGGUCGAGCUUUCUCUUCAUGCUCGUUGAGUAACUAUUGGCAAACAUGUGCAACUCUCUGUUUUCACGCUUAAGCUCUCUAAUAUCUUGUUUGAGGCUCAUCACUUAAGCCGCCAAUGAUUUAACUUGAUGGGUUCGAGCAAAUAGACGUUGGGCCAAAUUAGACACAGAACCUGCACACUAAACACUGAGAGCAAGAGAAUCCUUAACUGUCAACUCAUCGGACUGUUUGGAAAAUAGCCUAUUAUCUUUGGGAGUGACAAGGUUCCAGGCCACCACCGCAGCGGUCAUAUCAUUCUUCAUCACCGAAUCCCCAACGGUAAGAUGACCAGUAUGGGAUAUGAAAGAUGGGCGCCAUAUGUUGUCUGAAGAAGGCGGGACUGCCUCUUCACCAAGGUUCAAGUUAAAACGACGGUCGAAGGGUCCAGACAUUUUCAAGGUGUUAAAGAAAGAAGAGGUCGGACAAAUCAAGAUCUUAGAAGUGCAAGAAGGGAAUUUCUACAAGCGAAAAUUCAAGUAUGCUUUGAAACGAACUGCAUGCCUCUAUAAAAAUCAGCACUCGACAGGAUUUUAGAGAUCGAAGAGGCGAGCUCAGAAUUCGAAGAAGCCAAUUCAAAAAUCGAAGAGGCAAGCUCAGAAAUCGGAGAGGCAUCUUGCUUUUCCAGACGCGUCAGCACCCAUCACACGCAAACUCAGCUUUGCGAAAAUCACGGGCAAUUUGUCGAAGCGCCGAUCCCAGAUAUCGAAGAGGCGCCAGGUUUUUUCAGCCUCGUCAACAUCUGUCACAUGCACACUCAGCUUAGAGGAAAUUACGGAUAAUUUGUCUAAGAUUUCUCAUGAAAAAAAGCACGUGAAGCCAUACUGAUCAAUUACUCAAUGGUUGCCGACACGAGUGAAAGAACAGUACCUCUACAGGUAUUAAAGAACUUCCUAUAACUGUCCACAUUCACCCUCCAUAGCAAGGCAAACAUACAGAACCUUUCUUCAUCUCCGAGAAUGCCUUCCCAACGAAGCCUCUCGAGUCAUUCAGUGUUCCUUAUUCCUUGGGGUACCUCUGCAAACAAAUGACACCAAAGCAAAAGUACCUCAUAUCACCAGGGUAGAAAGCAAGAGUAUCUCAUAUCAUGCGUUCUCCCUGUCCUUUCCUUUAUCUUUGUUCUUACCUGCAAAGACAAGGAUAAAGAAAGCAAUAUGUCAGAACCUCCACUCAAACUCGGGUAAGGAAUUGACUACCUGGAACCUUUGCCUGGUUACUUACCUAACAUUGCUCUUGAGUACUCGUCUUCAGCUGCUGAUGUACUUCCAAAGAAAAUGCCAUAUUUGCCUGGAGAACAGACAAGACAAGUGAAAAUGAUACCUUGCAGCAUGUGGAGACAACGUGCAGAAGAAACAAGCAGAGAAGAAUGCAGCCUGCACAGUCAACUCAGCAGAAGGAGUUUGAGUUGAGGAACUCAAGAAGCUCCCACAUCUACCUGGAGAACAAAUAAGGAAAUGCGGCAUGCACAAUCAACUCAGCAGAAGAAGUCCGAGUUGAAGAAUUAGAGAGAAGAAGGGGUCUGAGUUGAAUCCAAGAGCUCGAGAAGCUUCAACAACAUAUUGACGACACCAUCGCCGAAGAGCAAAGCCUCGUUGUGCAACGCUGUCAAAUCGCCACCACUUCUUCGAAAGCAAGAGCAUUUGAUAUCAUGUUUUCUUCCUGUCCUUUUCUUUGUCCUUGUUCUUACCUGCGAGACAAGGAGAAAGAAAGUAAUCAGCCAACACUUGGUAUCAAUCUUCCAAUCUGGAACCAACUGCCUGGAACCCCUUCCUGAUUACUUACCUAGUCGUGCUCUCGAAUACUCAUCUUCAACAUCUUAUGCUUCCUCUUCGUCUACCACAUCUGCCUGGGGAACAGACAAGGGAAGUGAAAAUGAUACAUUGAAGCAUGUGGAGACAAGCACAACAAAGCACGUGCCAAUUCAUCCGCUACUUCUUCAAAAUCAAAAGUAUCUCAUAUCAUCAGGGUUGCAAUCACUCUAGGUGGAUGACUCAUUUUGACCCUCAAAUUCUUGGGUCGACUCGCUAGGCGUUGUGGGCUACACGUGCCGAUUCACCACCAUUGAAUCAAAUCCUUAAAGAUCAAGUCACCAACUGGAAGAAGAGCCCAUCAAUCUUGAAGAUCAUACCGUUGACCAAACUGCUCAGGUGUGAAUUAGAAAGAUUGAACAAAGCAACAAGUCGUCACCUUCACCUCGUGCCUGCUUGCUAUAUGUUCGAGUCAACCUUCAAGAAUCAAGCCUUAACGGCCCUUGAAGAAGUUUCCAGCCAAAUUCAAAGAUCAAGCCUCGACGGCCCGUGAGGAAAUCACAAGUCCGAUUCAAGAUCAAGUGUCUACCACCCUUGAAUCAAAUCCAGUUCAAGAAUAAGCUGUGGAAAGUCAACAAUUGGAGGAAACCGGAAAAUCCUCCAACCUAGUUCAAGAAUAAGCCUGUGGAAAGUUAACAAUUGGAGGAAUCCAGACAAUCCUCCAACCCAGUUCAAGAUCAAAGCUGUGGAAAGUCAACAUGCGCAACAAAAUACGUGUCGAUUCAUCCACUACCAAAGCUAAAAAUCAUCUACCACAUAAAGCUCCUUGUGGUCCGAUUUCAACCUUCUAGAUCAAGCCUCGAUGGCCCUUGAAGACAUUUUCAGCCCAAUUCAAGAUCAAGCAUCAACGACCCUUGAAGAAAUCUCAAGCCCAAUUCAAGAUCAAGCAUCAACGACCCUUGAAGAAAUCUCAAGCCCAAUUCAAGAUCAAGCCUCAACGGCCCUUGAAGAAAUCUCCAACCCAAUUCAAAAAUCAAGCCUCGGUGGCCCUUGGAUCGACAUCUACAAUAAGGGACUUCAAAACGCAUCUCCUACACGUGACAAACACAUGUAUAUGACGCGCCUUGAAGUGAGGGCAUUUGUAGACAUCGAAAUUUUGGUAAAUAAAUGUUGACCGAUAAAUCAAAGUUUCAACGCUCAUGUAUUACAUAAAUUUUACACGUCGCGUGUAACUCGACGAAAAAUUGAAAUGAGUCGGAAAAGUCAUCAAACAGGACAUGUGUCAACACCUGGCAGAAACGACUUAUUUCAUCUGAAAUAUUAUAUUCAAAAUUAGGCCUUGAAAUUUUUUAUAAAUAGAAGCCAAUUUCAUUCAUUUGGGGGGAGGAAUUCAUAUUACACCAAAACCUUGAAGCUUUGAAACUCUGAAACUCCGAAGCUCUCAAGCAUCCAGGUUCCCGAAGAAUCAAGAAAGCCCUCUUCGUUCUUCGUUCUUCGUUCAUCGUUCUUCCCAGAUCAAGCAUCGACGACCCUUGGAUCAACAAUCAUCCACCUUCAAGAUCAAGCCCCGACGGCCCUUUAAAGAACUUCCACCAAUUCAAGAUCAAGCCCCAAAGGCCCUUGAAGAACUUCCACCAAUUCAAGAUCAAGCCCCGACGGCCCUUGAAGAAAGUGUUCAUUGUUCAUCAUCCGUUCAUCCUAAGAUCAAGCCCCAACGGCCAUUUGGAUCAACAACGUCGACAAAUCUAUACAUCCAACCGUUCUUCAAGAUCAAGCCCAAAAGCCCUUGAAGAUCCGUUCAUCACUGUUCUUUAAAAUCAAGCUUAAAAGCCCUUGAAUAUCCGUUCAUCACCAUUAUUCAAGAUCAAGCCUCAACGCCCCUUCAAGAAACACUCAUCCUCAAGAUCAAGCCCCAACGGCUCCUUGAAGAUCUGCUCAAAUCCACCUUCAAAGAUCAAGCCCACGGCCCUUAAAGAAUGUUCAUCCUUAGAUCAAGCCCAACGGCCAUUUGGAUCAAUCGCACAUCCACAAAUCAACACCUUAUGGAGAUCGAAUCAGAUGAUCAAAUUUGAGAGAUAUUGUAACCCAAAAUCAUCAAAUACAAAUAUUAUUUUGUGCACGUUGUUCUUGUCUCGUUCGUUUCAGGAAAUUUUCGUGUUUACAAUAAGAAGGAGCAUAACUUCACAUAAUUGUAGAUUCAUAACUUCUGUUGCUUUGACUACCUCUAGAAACCCUUCACUGCUUGAAAUUUUCUUAUUACUAGAGGUCAGAAAGACAUUAUUUCCCUUGAACCAUGUUUCUUCUUCCCUUGAGAUUCUGAUCAAGAUGUAAGACAUCAACUACAAGUACUACAUAUCUUGUCCCAUUAGCAUGAUUCUACAACUUAUUUAUACCUUCUGAAGACUGCAUCUGGUAUAAUCCAUGAAGUGUUUUAGUUGUUUUGUCUUCACUGAUGUUGCAUUGAUUCAUCCCAGGCCUACAAACCAAUUUCAAUACCACUAUGAAAAGGCAACAAAACACGCACACAUACUCUUCAUGCAAAUUUUAUAAUGUGAAACCAAACAACCUAACAAGAAGCUUACAGCCAAACAACCGAGUAGAAAGUUCAUAACUUUUUAACCGAAGUUCCAAGUAGAAAUUCAAACACUAAUCAAUGAGACAAAGAUGGCCUUACUUACAGCAUAAGAGAGAUCGUUGUAGAUCAACAUUUUCCUCAUCAAUGUUAAUAGCAAGAAGUUUUGCGGCUUGUUCCAACAAUCAUUAUUAUUUGCCUUGUUCCCUCAUGGCUAUUUCCGUUGCCAUUGUUGUCUCUUAUCCUAAUGUUGGCAACUUUCUUUCCAUUAAUUUGGAUUGCAAUAACUAUCCAUUGUGGACGGCUUAGUUUAUCCCCUUUCUUCAUAGUAGGGGACUUCUUUCACUUGUGGAUAGCAUUUCUCGAUGUCUUCCAACGUUUAUCACUAAUGCUGAAGGACGGUUGAUUGACGAAAUCAAUCCUGUUUAUAAAGCAUGGAUUCAACUGAACCAAUUGGUCUUGUCUUGGUCAUCGAGUACAUCCCCUACUCCCAACGUCCUCUUUGUGAUUGUGAACAAGAUAUGUUCUCCUGAUGCCUGGAAAACCCUUUAGGAACGUUAUGCCUUUUCUUGGCAUAAUCAUGUUGUUAAGCUUCGAGGUGAGUUCAUGAACUUUUGAUCGGUGAUCUUUUUGUCAUUGACAUUCUAGAUUGGAUUAACUUUUUGGCUUACCAACUUGCUUUCUCUGGCUCACCUAUUACUAAUGAUGGUUUGGUGGAUACUAUCAUGAACAACGUUGGCUGCCACACCCUGAUCGGAGUCGAGAUGUGCUGGCCGACACGUGAGAGUGACGUAGCCAUGAACGCAAAGCGGAAACGAUAAAGAAUAAGGAAAAACGAACAAUUUAAAACCAAGCAACUAGCAAUUCCAAUUAAGAAAGGAUACUAGUGAGAGUUUAAGUGUAUAAAUACACUAUCAGAGCAAUAAGAAAGUCUAGUUGCAAUCAAGUAGGAUAAUUACUAAGAUACAACACCAGAGGGUGAAUCCUACUUUUUCAGGAUUUGUCAGAACACCAUUGAAUUCCUCGUGGCCACCAAACUCUGCUAACUAAAACCUAGAGGGGCGAAAAAUAAAGUUGAGUGGGUCAGUAAAACACAUUUACAUGAAAACCUUAUUUUCCUUUGAAUAUACUAACCCCUCGCCGUAAAACAAGCAUAAUUUUUCCCAUAAUUAAUAUAUAAGAAUAUACAUAAAUAUAUAUAUAUAUGUAAUUAUAUCAUUUCAAUCAUGCUUCACAUAAUCAUAAAUAUAUGUAUGCCAUGCCACGAUAUAAUAAAGUAAGCAAAUCAGGUAAGAAUAAUUUCAUAGAAAUAUAACAUGUUAGUAGUCUAUACGGCUGAAUAUAUAGCUCAAACGUCAAUCUAGCCGAAGUCACUACAAUGACCUAUACAGCAACAUACUGCACAAUAGUCGGAACCAAAUGCAAGGUCUGUACAACGAUAAUGGGUGUAAUAUAAUUAUGCUCAAUACUCAUCUCACAUAAUAGUCAGGCGAUAAAUCGCUAGUCACCUACGAGUCGGAACCAUAAAUAAGGUCUGUACGACAAGACUGUGCAUCUAAAUUGGAUCCAAUGUGAGCAUAUGGUGCGGGAGGUGACAUAAUAAACAGGCCUGUAUCAUAUCUCUAGCUAAAUCACAAUCACAGAUUUAAAUAUCGAUAUUAUCGGCGAAAUAUCGCCGAUAAUAUCGAUUUUUCCGGUCGGCGAUAUUUUAACUGGUUUCCGUGGGGUUUUCGGCCAAAUAUCGCGAUAUUAUCGAUAAUAUCGAUAAUAUCGCGAUAUUUGGAAAUUAUCGGCGAAAUAUCCAUGGACGGUGGAAUCGGAAUCCGAGGCGACGUCGGAGAAGAACGCCGGAGACAGUGGGGCGAUUCCCGGGCCGGUUUCGUCCCAAAAACCUUGCAAAAACACGAAUCUUAACAUUAAUUUCACAAAUAUACAUCAGAUUUCACAAAUAUACAAACGAUUCAAGGCAGGGUGAAGUCGGAGAGAUUAGGGUUUAGGGUUUCAUGGAAUCUCACCUGACGAAGCGGAAUACGAACGAUCCUUGCUCCGCGGCGCACCUCUGACUUCGCCUGAGCCACGAUCAACGGUGAUCUCUGUGUGUGUGUGUGUUUGGGAGAAGAGAGAUCGGAGAUCUCUCUUUGUAUGUGGGUGUUUGGGAGAAGAGAGAUCGGAGAAGGGAGAAGAGAGAUCGGAGAAUGGAGAUGAGAGAUCGAGAGAUCUCUGUGUGCAUGUGUGUGUUUGGCAGAAGAGAGAUCGGAGAUCUCUGUGAGUCCGAUCUCUGUGUGUGCGUGUGUUGGACUUGGAUCCGAUGUCAACCUGUGGAGCUCUCUGUGUGAGUGUGUGUGUGGGAGAAGAGAAGGGAGAAGAGAGAUGGAGAAGGAUGAUCGAGAGAGAGAGAGACUGAGGAGCUCUCUGUGUGUGUGUGUGUUUGGAAGAAGAGAAGGGAGAAGAGAGAACGAGAAGGAUCGAGAGAGAGAGACUGAGGUGUGGUCUGCGUGCGUGCAUUGUGUGUGCGUGCGAUGUGUUUUUGACAGUGAUGAUGUGUGUGGGUUCCUCCUGUCAGGAGGAUAAACUCACUCAAUAUUUUUACAAUUAUUUAGACAAUUUCAUGCAGCUUUUACAAUUAUCAAUUGUAUUCUUUUCAGACCAUGAAUGGUGGUCAUUUGUGUGUGUGUGUGUGGGUUCCUCCUGUCAGGAGGACACAUGACUCACUCCAUAUUCUCGACAACACGAACAAUUAUUUGGACAAUUUCAUGCAUCUUUUACCAUUAUCAUCAGUAGUCUUUUGAAAAGACUCUUUUCAAACCGGUGGUUUCAUUCAAAACCGUGUGCCAAUAUUGUUUUAAAAGGUGGAGUUUCAGAGUUAUUGUGUGAACUCGUUCAAAGUUGUCAUUGUGAAAAAAUUUCAAGAGGUGGAGUAUCAGUAUCAGAUGAGCAUUUUCGAUUAUUUUAUUUCCCUUACCCGUUUCAAAGUCAUUCCAGAUCCAGAGCUUAAACACAAAGGGUUCCAUAUUUAAAGUAAGUUUACAAACUUAUAUUUAUAUUCUUAUAAUUUAUACAACAACAAAAAAAUUUGUGUGAACUCGUAUGUAAAUUUUUUUAAGUAAUUAAUACUUGCAUGUUAGUUUUUGUAAGUAAUUAAGUAAUGUUAACAAUUGCAUGUUAAUUUUUUUUAAGUAAUUAUUACUUGCAUGUUAGUUUUUGUAAGUAAUUAAGUAUUGUUAACAAUUACAUGUUAAUUUUUUUUAAAGUAAUUAAUACUUGCAUGUUAGUUUUUGUAAGUAAUUAAGUAAUGUUAAUACUUGCAUGUUAGUUUUUGUAAGUAAUUAAGUAAUGUUAACAAUUGCAUGUUAAUUUUUUUAAGUAAUUAUUACUUGCAUGUUAGUUUUUGUAAGUAAUUAAGUAUUGUUAACAAUUACAUGUUAAUUUUUUUUAAGUAAUUAAUACUUGCAUGUUAGUUUUUGUAAGUAAUUAAGUAAUGUUAAUACUUGCAUGUUAGUUUUUUGUAAGUAAUUAAGUAAUGUUAACAAUUGCAUGUUAAUUUUUUUUAAGUAAUUAUUACUUGCAUGUUAAUUUUUGUAAGUAAUUAAGUAUUGUUAACAAUUACAUGUUAAUUUUUUUUAAGUAAUUAAGUAAUGUUGUAUAAUUAUUCCCUAGGAUAAUUUUAAUAUGUUUAAUGUUAUUUAUUAUUUUAUUUCCCUUACCAUUUUCAAAGCCAUUCCAUAUCCAUUCCAAAGCUUGAACACAAAGGGUUCCAUAUUUAAGGUAAGUUAUUUAUAUUAUUGUAAUUUAUACAACAACAAAUAAAUUUGUGUGGACUCGUAUGUUAAUUUUUUUAAGUAAUUAAUACUUGCAUGUUAAUUUUUGUAAGUAGUUAAGUAAUGUUAACAAUUACUUGUUAAUUUUUUGUAAGUAAUUAAGUAACGUUGUAUAAUUAUUCCCUACGAUAAUUUUAAAAUGUUUAAUGUUAUUUAUUAUUUUAUUAAUAUUAGGUUUUAUUAUCAAAUAGGAUUAUUAAUAUUGGAUUAUUCAUUAAAUUGAAUUAUUAUUAAAAGUGGAUUAUUAUUAAAUUGGAUUAUUAUCAAAAAGGAAUAUUAUUCUUCACUAUGUUUUAUAUUAGGAUUAUUUCAUGAAACAUAAUUAUCAUCAUUUAUAGUAGGAUUAUUUAUAUUAGGAUUAUUAUCAAAAAGGAAUAUUAUUCAUCAUUUAUAUUAGGAUUUAUUUUUUUAUUUUUUUUAUCAAAUUGGAUUAUUCUUCAUUAAUAUUAGGUUUUUUUAUUAUCAAAUUGGAUUAUUAUUCAUUAAAUUAGAUUAUUAUAAAAUUGAAUUAUUAUUCAUUAAAUUGGAUUAUUCAUUAAAUUGGCUUAUUAUCAAAUUGGACUAUUCAUUAAAGCCCACUUAAUGUAGUCUCCAAACUUGACCUUAGGCCCAAAUCUCAAACAUAACCACACUUGGGUUGGGUUAGGUUAACCAAAAGGUCCAAAACUUAGGAAAAAAAAAACGAAUUAUUCAUUUUUAUUCAUUAAUAUUAGGUUUUUUUAUUAUCAAAUUGGAUUAUUGAUUAAAUUGGAUUAUUAUUAAAGUGGAUUAUUAUUAAAUUGGAUUAUUAUCAAAAAGGAAUAUUAUUCUUCACUAUGUUUUAUAUUAGGAUUAUUUUCAUGAAACAUAAUUAUCAUCAUUUAUAGUAGGAUUAUUUAUAUUAGGAUUAUUAUCAAAAAGGAAUAUUAUUCAUCAUUUAUAUUAGGAUUAUUUUUUUAUCAAAUUGGAUUAUUAUUCAUUAAUAUUAGGUUUUUUUAUUCCAUAUUAAUUUUUUAAUUACUUAAAUUUUUACAAUCAUUUUCUUUACUUCAUAUUGUAUUCUUCUGUAGAAUAACUUUAUUAUUUAGGUUCUGUAGAAUAACUUUAUUAUUUAAUUCUUUUGUCUAAUUUUCAUGAAAAAUAAAUGUAGGUACGUUUAAGAUGUCUAGUGGAGCUAGUAAACGUGAUCCAGCUUGGGAACAUGGCGACCCAAUAGACGGAAACAAACAUGGCACAAUUUGCAAAUAUUGUGGUCGGGUAAUGAAGAGUGGUGGAGUGACACGACUUAAGUACCAUCUUAGUGGAUUAGAUCCAGCAAAAAAUGUCCAACGAUGCGAUAAUGUCCCCCCAGAAGUGAAGGCAUUCAUCAGCACAUUAUUAAAAAAUAAAAAACAGCAGAAGGAAAAGAUGACACAAGGAAUGGAAAAUAUUCGAGCUGGGCUACGGGGAGAAGUCUAUGGCCAAGCGGUUGACAGUGAUGAUGAUGACGAUGAGGACGAAUGUGAUGAUGACAUGGGACCUGAAGAACGACGCAGUUUGAAACAAGCAUUACGUGCCUCCAAACAGUCAGCAUGGGAAAGAGAACACCUUCAUAAAAUUCCUAAUAGGGGACAAGGUUCCGGGACAAGUGGUGGUGCACAAAUGAGACGGGGAUGCAGUCUUAGAGAAUCACAACCAACACCACCAAUAGCCCCAAGUUUAUAUAAGUCAUCCAACGCACGUCAAAAGAGUGUUUGGAGUUAUUUCAAGGGAGGUAAUGUGAAGGAGGGAAUGGGGCGUCUAAUUAGCAAGUUCUUUUAUCUAUGAAAAGAAAAUGUCCCUGCUGCGAAGGCUUCAUCACAUCAUUUCAAAAAUAUGGUAGUGGGAUGUCAACAGGCCGGUGUUGGAGUACAACCUCCCACUCCCUAUGAGAUAAGAAACAAAUAUUUGGAUAUGGAGUAUAAAGACAUUGGCGAGUAUGUUAACAAGUUGAGGUCAAAAUGGGAAACUAAUGGUUGCACAAUCAUGUGUGACGGAUGGACCGGCCCGACCAGAUUAUCUAUCAUCAACUUCAUGGUAUACUCCAAGGGCAAGACAAUUUUUUUGAAGUCUGUUGAUGCUUCAGACCAUAUAAAGAAUUACAAGUAUAUUUACAAAUUAUUGAGGGAUGUAAUCAUGGAGGUGGGAGAGCAUAAUGUUGUCCAAGUCGUGACCGACAACGGUUCUGCAUUUGUCAAAGCUGGAAAAAAGUUAAUGAAGCAUCAUAAUGUGUUUUGGACAUCAUGUGCAGCACAUUGUAUUGAUCUUAUGUUUGAGGCAAUGGGGAAGAGAGAGAAUGUUGCUGCUGUGGUCAAAAGAGCCAGAACGAUCACUAAUUAUAUUUACAAUCACGGUUGGUUGUUGGCAAAGAUGCGUGAAUUUUGCAGAGGAGAAAUUAUUCGUCCAGCUACCACUCGAUUCGCCACCAACUAUAUUGCAUUAAACAGCCUACUCAAGAAGAAAGCAGGGUUGAAGCAACUAUUCACUAGUGACGAUUGGGCCAACCACAAUUUCAGCCGCUCAAAUACAGGUCGUAUGGUGGAAAGUAUAGUGCUUGAUCAUGCUUUUUGGAGUCAAACAGAACAUGUGUGUCAAGUGUUUGAACCUCUUUACAAAGUUUUACGCAUCGUUGACACAGAAGUGUAUCCUACUAUGGGGGCUGUAUAUGAGUUGAUGCGUGUAGUGAAGGAUGAAUUGGAAAGAAAACAUGGUGCAAGGUGGGUCGUAAAAAUAAUUGAAGACCGAUGGUAUAAAACAUUAUACCACGAUUUGCAUUCAGCAGGUAUAAAUUAUGUCAUAAUUUGCAAUUCAUUUCUUUAGUUGCAUAAGUAUUAUUUAUCUUAUUAGAGUAUGUGUUUCUUUGAACAGCAUAUUAUUUGAAUCCCCGAUACCAAUACAGACCCGGUGUUGGAGAUGAUGGUAACCUUAUACGUGCUGUACAUAAUGUAUACAAUAAAUUAGACCAUGCAUCACCAGCAGUUGGCCAAUUUGGAAAUGAGGUACACAAUUACUUAAAUUAUAAUAAUUACUUUGUUGGAUUAAACUAACACAAUUUAUUGUAUUCAGCUAACAUGGUUUAAAGAUGCAAGAAGAACAUUUGGAGAACCAACAUCAGUUGCUGCUCGAACAAAUAUGUCUCCUAGUGAGUAUAAACAUAUUUCACUAUAAGUUUAUAAUAGAAUUUGUUGGAGUUAUUAGGCUUAUCAACAUUAUUUUUCAUUGUAGCUGAAUGGUGGAUCAUGUAUGGGACCGAUGCACCAACUGUGAGAAAGUUAGCAAUAAAAGUAUUAUCACAAACGGCUUCCUCAUCUGCUUGUGAAAGAAAUUUGAGCACAUUUGCACUCAUCCACACAAAGCAAAGAAAUAAGUUGGCUCAUAGUAGCUUGGAAAAAUUAGUUUAUUACUACUACAACAUGAAGCUUCAAAUUCGAGAUAAGGAAGCAGAAAUCGAUCAUGUCGACCGUGGUGACCCACUAGAUGUGUUUGAUAUUGUUGGUGAAGAUGAUGAUACGGAGGGUAACCAACUUUUUCAAUGGAUUAGACCUCUUCAUUUAGAUGAUGAUGAAGGCAACCCAGCUCCUAGAGUUGCUGAAGAAGCACGUAAUGAAGGGAUAAAUGUAGAAAGAGUAUUAGAGGAGGAGGUGGGAUCUAGCAGCGCUGACUCUUUCGAAGAACUUUUGCAGCCAAGACCAAGCAACACUGGAAUUCCACCUUUUUCCAAUCCUACACAACCACAACAUCGUGCUGAUACUAAUGAUAGCUCUAGUACAAGAUCAGGAGACUCACCUACCACCGGAGGUGGGAAUGAUGAAGGACAUAGUGGAGCUGGAGGUAGUGGUGGUGGAUAUGGAAACUAUUAUGGACCACCACAUCCCGGAUAUAUGAGCCCCUUCACUGGUGAGGCAAACUUCACGCAUGCAACCCAGGAUGAUGACCAUGGCAGUAGGCGGGCAGGACCAGGAAUUGGUGCCAUAGGGAAGGACUAUACUCGCAGAGAAAGAGGCAAAAAGAUUUUGUCAAGUCAAGAAGAUGACUCGUUAUCUAGAACUUCAGACUCUGUUGGAUUGGAAAGUAGUAACUAUGGUUAUCCUCAUAACCAACCAUUUCCCUACCCUUCAUAUCCCAUUCCUGUUGGGAUGGAAUCGAGCGACUCAUGGAAUCAAUCCCAGCCUCAAUCUUCAAAUGAUUUUUUCUUAUGGACAACCUCAACCAAUCUCGGAUCCAUAUGGGUGGCAUAUUAACAAUUACAUGCAAAACUAUUUUGGGGAUUUAUCAUUUGAUAACUACUCUUCACAAUACACUCAUUCUACACAUAGAGAUGAUGAAGAUAGUGACAAAUUUGAACCUCAUAGGAACUCUAUGUGGUUCUAAAGUGUAAAAUAUAUUGUACUAAUUCAUUAUAUAUAAAUGAUUAUGGUGUGUUUAGACUUCUUUCAUUAAUUACUACAUAUUUUCUACACUCAUAAUGUUUGUCAGAUCGCUAUAUAAUCAACUUGAUAAUGUUAAAUCCAUCAUGCAAUGCAUUUCCUUCCAAUUUUUUGUGAUAAACUAAUAGAUAAUUGACUAAAUAAACAUCCUACAAAGUUUCAAUAAAAAUUUCCAAGUUUUUCUUACAAUUUCCGUGGUUUCCAUGUAAUUUUUAUCGAUAUCGAUAUUUUACCGAUAUUUCCAUCGAUAUUUCCGUGUUUUCGGACUACCGAUAUUUCCGAUAUCACCGAUAUUUUCUUCCUUGAUCACAAUCACCCUAAGUGCAGUUUUAUGAGCUCAACAAUAUUCAAUCACAUAUCACAUCAUCGACAAUUCACAUAGCCAAACAUAACUUACUUGAGUUUACCUGAGCCUCCACAGCACCAUGCAACAAUAUGCAUAAUUAUGAUAAUGCAUAUACUAAAAUAAAAUAUAGGCAUAGCAUGACAUUUCAAUCACAUUUCCUUAAAUACGUUUUCUGGGAAAACGUCAAUUAUAUAUAUAUAUAUAUAUAUUGAAAAUAACUGCCCACUCACAGAUAUGUCGAUGGGUUGUAACCCCCGAGCCUCAAUUGAUUACGCACGUCCUGAUAAUAGGUCUCACCUAUAGGUGUAAUAACCGAAUAAACGCUAUUUAACGCACAUAACCAAUAAUAGGUAAUAACUUCUCAUAUAUUACCCAAUUUGGGUAUAUGAAUAUACCACAGUGACCUACACAAUCUCAGGAUCAUCCCCAAAUUUUUAGAAUAUUUUUCUUAGCUCCCAUGCGUCGCCACGCGCCGGCCAAGGCACGGCCAAACGCUCCCCCUACGCGCGGCCAUGUGCCAGGCACACUGACAGUGUCAACUGACGCCGUCAGGUAUAUUUCGGAAUAUUCCGUUUAUUCCUUAACAAAACUUAACGGCGUGACCUAACACCAUUAGAAUAUUCCGUUAAACUAAACGGAAUAUCCUCUCAUCUUCUACCUUCAGCUCCAGCGACCGUCGCCGUUGCUGGAAACUGGGAAAUUUUCAUUUCCUUAUAUCUUCUUCGUUUUUAACCCAAAAUUUAUGAAACUUGAACCAUUUUAAAGAUCUCACAACGACGAACAAAACCAUACCUAAUUCGAGCUUUGAAACCACCGGAAUCCCGUCGAAAAAAGCUUCGAUAAUCCGGCAAAUCUCAAAACUUGUCGUUCUCCCGAUUCCGACGUCCAAUUUCUUCAAAUGAGGUACUCUGCGCUUCGUAAGGACCUCCUUAAGCUCCCUAUGUCCUUUAAAUUCCCUAAAAAUCAAUAUUUUACGUGAGCAUGAAUAGUACCUUAAAUCGGGUUUUGUGGUUCGACGUGAAAUCGAAUGUAAUCUUACCUGUAAUUGGUACCUUUGAACCCGUGAGGACCUUAGGAAUACAAUGGUACCAUUUUUCUUCUUCGAUCUAUCACGUUUACAAGGGUUUCUGGUUGUGUCCGUACAAGAGAGGAAGAGAUGGAGACUGUGAGUCUGAGAAAGAGAGAGCACGAGAGUGAGAGAGAGGAAGUGAGGUGUAGUGUGUGGACCAAAUCUCUCCAACCAAUCAAAAAUUAGUCUUUCUUAGUUCCUAAGUGGUUCCAAAAACUUAGGAAAUCAUAAUUAAAUCCAACUUAAAUACAAGUUAUACACCACACAACUUAACGUCCAAGGGUACACUAGUAAUUUCACGUCAACGGAAAUUAUUUUCCGGAACGGGCUGUCACAUUGGCCCUUUAUAUGAAAACACAGUAGCCUCUAUAAUCCUGCGAGUCUCCCAUAACCUAUGCUGCCACAUGUGGUCUUUGGGUCAUUGUAUAAAUUACCAUUCUAUGAGAAUAUUUUUUAAUUUUUUUGGUACACUUUUAUCUAUGCUCUGAUACUGUAUGCAUUGUAAUAAGAUUCAUCCAUAUUGUGCACUCUUAUAUAUUUUAAAUUUAGACUUUGGUUUUAAUUUAUUCCUACUUUUACACACCACUUUCACAUUAUGACUUCGUCAUCCUUCGGAUGUCGGUCAACAUGCCUCGAUUUUAGUAUUCACGUGGAUAUUCGAGUUGGGAUGUGUCAAUUUUUAUCCUCUCACAUCAUAUUCCUUCUUUUUAUAUAUACUAGCUUCUUACCAAACGUUGAUGCGUGUGGUAAUAUUUUUUUUAAUUUUUUAGUUUAAACUUUAUAUUAUUUUGAAUAUUAAUUUAUUUGAAAGUUAAUUUACAAUGUAUAAUUUUAAAAAAUGGUUAGUAACUCCAUGUAUGUGGGGUUUUUUUUUAAUAAUUUGUCCUUAUUUAAUUAAAUUGUCUCUUUAAAAAGUAGUAAAAAGAAGGGGCAUUUUUAGUACUAUGAAUAUUUCAUCAAAUUUACCUUCUUCUUUUAUAUAUAGAGAUAGAUUAACAAACGUAAGGAAAUUUAUUUAUUUUUCUAAUUUUUUAACGUGCCACAUGGUUGUAGUUUAGCAGAAUAAAUAAACUUUAAAGUUUUGGGUGGAAUAAUCACGUUUCGUUUAAUAUUUUCACUCUAAACUGUUACAUACAAGUCUAUCUUACGUGUACUUGUAAGAUGAACCAAAUCCUCCCUCGUAAUGACAUGGAAAAAGAAACUUGAAUGACAUCUCACGCCGUCCAAAAUUUUUUUGCAGCUUAACUUUUACCAUUUAUAUUUUCAUGAUUACAUCACAGCAGUAGUUACUUUGCACACCACCGUUCAUUUUCCAGAGUUUUGGUAAAUUUUCGAAGCACCUUGGUGGUAGUUGCUUUGCUUAUGUACACUUUUUUAGUGCUAAUAUGCCCAUCCAUGGUUUUAUUUCCCCCACCCAAAUCAACUCCAUGUAAAAAAAACUUCAAAAAUUAUGUUAAAAAUUACUCCUUUUAUAUAUUCUCUGUAGUUAAAAAAAGCAGUAGAAAAAAGAGUAAAAUAAUGAAAAUGAGAAAUGAAUUAAACCUCUCCAUUUUCUUUCCUCAUCCCUCACCCUUUUUAACUCUUUCGUCCCACCCACCCCAAAUUCUAUCUCUUCUUUUCUUCCUACACAAGCAACUGAGCCCCCUCCCCCCCCCGCGCGAUGUCGCGGGUCUUAAAACUGUGUUCAACGUACCGGAUAGAAUAAAGUCUAUUUACAUCUUUAUAUUCAAUAAGGAACAAAAGAUACUUGUUUGUACAAUGUAUUACAUAGCCAAAAUUGUGAAUUGCUGGGAUGGUAAUGUUCACGGUAGAACUUGUGUAGUUUUAUUACCUAAUAUCAGAAAGAAGUGCUCUGUAGUGAUUAAUAAAAAAAUAUUUAAGAAACAAUUCAUAUGCAUAGAAAAAGGAGAGAGAAAGAGACAGAGAGAGAGAGAGUAAAAUGCUAAUCAGAAUAUAAGAGAUAAAAAAGAAGUUGCAAAGCUGUUCUACAACCAAAUAGCACUGGUCGGAAUGAGCCCCUUAAAUGGUUGAGAAGUUCGGAUGAUGGUUAUACGAUGCCCACAUUGAGGGUAACAUCAGGAGAAUUUUUGGGGUAGUAUUGUUCGAAAAAUUAUCAUCAACAAUGUACAUUCUCCAAGAAAUUAUAUUUCAUGCCUAAAAUAAACAGUUAGCCUUCAUGAAGUGAAACCACCUAAAUUUAGUAUGAACCAAACUCCAUGGAGAUGAUGAUGAUGUGAAAUUCAACAUGCAAAGGAUGAAGGAGAGGAAUUUCAACUGGAUUUAGAGCAAAGUGGCUGCUGAAAUAUAGUAACCAGUUAGAACCUUGAUUCUAAGUUCCAAAUGCAGAAUAUCAAAGUCCUUCAUAAGAAUUAGAAACAAAGAGAAGAAUUCAGAGAGUUUGAUCUUCACUGGUUUUCUCCAACUCCCAUUAAUUCCACAUCAAAUUGGAAAAAAUCUUGUUUUCCAAACGAAGAUGUUGAACAUCAACGUCAUUCCACUGUUUUCUCUCUGCAUCAAUGAAGCGGAAAAUACGUUAGUCCCAUCAUGUUGUCUUGGCUGAUAGCAUAUUUGAAAUAACACUGUUAAAAAUCAAACAAAAAUUAGAAUGAAAUACAUAAUAACUGUACUGGAUUUCUAUAAAUACAUGCGGGUCUUUUAACUGAUAUUUAAUAGAUAGAAUUCAAACAUUUUGAGAACGAAAACAUUUAAUAGAUAGAACUGAAAAACUUUGAGAACAAAAACAAAAGGUUCAAAAUUUAAUCAAACCCAACAAUGACAGCCGAAAUCAAAAUUAAUUAGAGCAAAGGGAACAAAUUCGAAAUUCCAAAAAACCCAUAUUGAACGCAAAAUAUCAGAAUUCAUAACGCAAAGACUCAAAUUAACACAAAAUCAAUGUGCUUUCAAUAGAACCUGAAAAACUGUAACCCAUAAAAGGUCGGAAAGGCCUGAAAUUGGCCAUAAUAAAAUCGGAUUCUUGUCGGAAAAAAAGCUGCAAGCUGUGCUUAUGGAACUCUUCAAUCAAUGGGUAAGUUCGAGCAUGCAAAGCUCGAAUGAUGUUGUUGGGACUAUCCUGAACUGAAUAGUUGGGGUUGCGGGCCGGCCGCCACCAUAAAACAUGUGAAAGUUGGGUUUUUCAUUUGAAGGCUAGUCGAAGACGGGGAGAACGGCGAGAGGGAAGAGAGAAGGAGGAAGAAAAAAAAUAUAAAGCGUAUAUAUAUUUUUUGAGGCAGUGGCAAGAGAAGUAAUAACAUAAAAUUGACAGGGGCAAAAUGGAAAACACACUGUGCUUAUCAACAGUAACAUAGUUGAUUUUGAGUUUUAGUAUAGAUUGAAUUUCAACCUUUAAUUUUGAAUUGGAAUUCGGGAAUAAAUAUAGAGAUUAAUCUUAAAAUCAUAUUUGACAGAAAAAAAAAAAAGAUAGAAAGGAACAGAGAAAGGAGAAUAAAAAGAAAGGAAUGUAACUCAGAGAAAGGAGAAUAAAAAGAAAGGAAUGUAACUUUCCGAAUGGCAAAGAGAAAAGAAGUUGCUGCGGUCAUAUGUGGUGCUUGGUUGUGAUUGCUUUGGGUCGGGUUGGAAGGACUUUCAUGACUGUUUCAUUUUCCAAAAAUCUCCAAGAUUCAGUCAUUCUUUAUAUUUAUUUUAUUUAUAACUUAAACUAUUACGGAUAUUUUAGAAAUAUGAAGGGGUGGAAAGAGAGUGUUUGGUAUUUUUAUUUUUGAAGUGAAAGAAAAUAUAAUGUAGUUAAAAGAAAUAAGAUCAUAAAGUGGGCGUAGUUGCAGUUUUAUAAGAAAAAAACAAAAAGAAAAAUGGAAAAACAUAUCGUUUUAUGAUUUUUUAACAUCACUAUCAGAGUUUUCUGUCUUUUAGGGUUCGAAAAUUAGAUUCGAUCGUGUCGCAACCCCUUUCUCGAUUUUCUCACCCAAUUUUUUAAAUUUUCCGUCUUUAAUUAUUUCCGCUAGGGUUUCCAUUCCCCCAAUUUAAUUUCAUUUGCUUUUUCAUCGAUUUCUCGAAAUGGAGGGCAUUUCGCUGCUGUAAUUGGUAGGUUUUCUGCCCCCAAUUUCCACGUGCUUCAGGGUUUUUCUGGUUCAAUUUUAGCUUCGGGAAGUAAAAUGAUAUUUUUGGUUGGUUUUCUUGUGGGAGUGUGUUGAAUCAGCUCAAUUUUUGUUUCUUUGCUCUGAUUUUGGGAUUUUUACCGUAAUUUGGUUGAAUUUUUGUUUUUGCAGUAAAUAGAUUGAGCGGGCAUGUCAUUGCGAGUUUAUAGCUUGGAGGGUUGAAUUUUUUCUGAGAAUAUUUGUAUGAAUUUGGGGACAAAUGUUUGCUACCAACAUGGAUUCAGCGCGGGAUGUUGUUGGAGUUCCGAGCACGGUGUUGAUCCCAAUGCGCUUUGUGUGGCCUUAUGGGGGCAGAAGUGUGUUUUUCAGUGGUUCAUUUGUCCGGUGAGACUCUGAGUUUUCGGUCUUGAAUUUUGUUUAUAUAUAAAUGGAAAUUAAGUAUAUCUGAUUUUUUGGGCUGUUGUUAUAUUUGUGUGUGUUUCAAAUGGUAUGUUCUUUGUGCAGCAGGUGGUCUGAACUUAUUCCUAUGACCCCGGUUGAGGGUUGCCCCACUGUGUUUCAAGCUGUUUACAGUGUAACGCCGGGAUACCACCAAGUAAGUUUUUUCGUUUCAGAAUUGAAGUAUUUGAAUUGUUGUUGUUGCGUAAAUUCACAAGCUUUCACUUUUGAGGGGAAUAUGAGUAGCAGCAGUCAACUACGAUUGAUUCAGUGAUCAUAGAUGAUGGAUUCAUUGAUAAAGCUUGUAAUGAAUCAUAUCAAUCUUUACAUUUUAUAGGAGCAAAGUUGAGAAAGUUGAUUGCAGGCCAUGGAAAAGAGUGUUAUGUAGUUGAGUUUUGUUAAUAAUCGAUUGAAAUGUAGGUGAAUUUAGUUGGUAGAAUCAAGUCAUAGUCUUCAUACACUCAAACUUGAUAUUGAUGAGAAGAAAUAUGAAGGGUUAAUAUCUGGUAUUACCAUUAUGAAGUUUAUUUUGAUGAGAAGAAAUAUGAAGGGUAAUACCAAGUCAUAGUCUUCGUUUGAAUUAUACUAUAUUAAUGUAGUACUGUAAUGGUUAAAGAAGUUUAUUUUGGUUUGAAUGUCUUUUCGGAAUUGGAAUAUUUUGGUCGCCCACCAUAGUUGAAUUUUGAAGCACUCAGUGAUCAUAGUCAUAGGAUGAUGAACUAAGUAUAUGGUAUAUAAGAACUAAGAGUUUGGAGACCUGUAUCACAAUAUGAGCUUAUGGAAGACAAAAUUGUUGUUAAUGAGCCUUGGCUUAAGUGGCAUUGGAUGGGUAGGGUGGGACGUGAGGGUAGACACCCAUGGUUCGAAUCUGCAUGUGAAAAAGCUGUGAGUUGUUUGAGGCAGUGAAGUUAGUGUUGUCAUCUUUUGUAUCUUUCUUGCCGUGUUCCUCAUGGGAUUUCUGUUUAUGAAUAUUGCUCAUUUUAAUCUUCCAUAUGGUGAUACUAUGUGAUUGUAGUAUGGAAAUCCCUAUUGGGUGCUUCAUUAAGCUGAAUUAGUAGUAAUAUAUCAAGUAAUAGAGUCAGUGCUGAGAAAUUUUAGUCUAGGAGGUGAUGUGGUGGUUGGUAUGAAUUCUGGAUAAUUGGCUUGGCUCACAGAUGGAUAGAGGAAUAUAUUACGAAUAAUCUAUGGAUAUCUUAUAAUUACUAUCGGGCUUUUUUAUUCUUUUGAAAUUUGAAAAUCACAUGUUCAUCUCAAGUGGAUCACCAGUUUCGUACUUUUUUGGUUGAAGUGAUUGAAUGUGUGAAUUUUUAUCAAGCCUGCAUGCAGUUUGAUGUUAGAAUGCUAGUACUGGGGUGUUCUGUGUUUACAUUGAUAGGACUUUAAACACAUCAUCAAAGUCUUACUUUGUAUGUGUUUCUCAUACUACAGUACAAAUUUUUUGUUGAUGGCGAAUGGCGACAUGAUGAGCACCAAUCUUACGUGAGUGGUGAAUAUGGGUUAGUGAACAUUCUCUUGGCCACAGAUCCUAAUCUCUUUCAUCCGAAUGUAACCUCAGAGAUGACUUCUGGACCUAAUUAUAUGGAAGAGGAUACUGAGGCCUUUAAGCGUUUGGUAAGAGUCAUUCAUUCCUUAUCAUUUAAGAUUAUGUAUGUUUUUUCCCUGGGGCAGCAUUUAAGAUCAUAUCAUUGUUACCUCGAAAUGUAAUUCUCUUUCUAUUAACCUUUCCUAUAAGAUUUUACUGAAUUCAGGGUGCUUCAACAUUAUCCCAUCCAUGUGAUGUGUUUAUGAUUUGAGUUAAUAGGUUGCUCAUGGAAUUCAUGGUCUGAAUCACCUUUUUUUCCCAAAUAAAAAAAAAUCUUCCUUGCAUUUUAACACUCAUUUUAUGCUCCUGUAAGCUGUAUUUACUUUCUGUUAUUUUUCUCCAAUGAGUUAUUGGUAAGAGUAGAUUGUGAUCUUUUUACAACACAGGUCCGGAUUACAGAUGGUACUUUAACUGAUGUAGUACUAAGGAUAUCAGAGGCUGAUUUGCAAAGCUCUCGUCAUUGUAUUUCUGUCUUCCUGUCUACACACACCACAUAUGAACUACUCCCGGAGUCAGGCAAGGUUUGGAUGAUUUGUUGUUGCCCUCCUUUAUGCAUUCUACAUUUGGUUGGUGUAUAUGAAUUUGACUCAUUAUGCAUUAGUCUCUUUUUUUCUUUUUUUAAUCACAUCAAGUUAACAGGUUGUUGCAUUGGAUGUUGAUUUACCUGUAAAGCAAGCAUUUCAUAUAUUGCAUGAGCAGGUAUGUACAACGAAAAAUACAUUUCUCAUUGUUGGUUGAAUCAUGCUCUGCGUAUUUGAUUUGUGGAAGAGGAAAUGAAUACAUUCUAGCUUGAUCUCUAUUAGUAUCAGUUUUAGUGGGCAUUGUGGUAGUUCUAAACUCAUAUUAAGUUCUAUGUUAUAACUGGAGGAUCACCCCCAUAUAUCUUUAUGGGUCCCUUUGUUCACAUGAUUACACCCUUUAUAUAAUUGUUUCAAUUUGAUAUUUUCACAUCAUUUUUAUAAACCCAAUUCAAUUAAGGAAUUUAUCUAAGCUUUGCUAGUUGCCGAAAUUUGAACGGUACCUUGGUUCUUCAUUUUUUGUUGGCGUGCUUACUUGAUGCUGAUAAUGAGCCAGCAUAUGCAUCUUUCUGAGCCAAUUUUUUUUUCCAGGGAAUCCCUUUGGCGCCUCUUUGGGACUUCAGCAAUGGACAUUUUGUUGGAGUUCUCAGUGCAUUGGAUUUUAUUUUAAUAUUGAGAGAGGUAUGUUUGAAUCUGAAAUGAUUUUUUUCCUUUGGUGAGUUCUUCAAGAUGCAGUUAUAUCAUUGUUAUUUUGAAUUCUUGGAUAGUAAUUUGAUGCAAAAGUUCAAAUAUAUUAGUUUGAGACUUCCAUCUCCUGUUUGUUAUUUCUGUCGUUCUUCACUAACAUAUACAUUCUUAGGGAAUUGUGAAUCAGACUUUGGUAAAAUUUUAUCAGCUUACUUUAUUGACCAAAUACUUUUUAAGUAGGAUCUUGCUAUUAGUUGUGUGCAAUGCUCGCACCCACAUUUGAGUGAUGUAUGAUAAUUUCUUAAAGUAGCUAACUUUAUUUUUAUCUUUUAGCUUGGGAACCAUGGAUCUAAUUUGACAGAGGAAGAGCUUGAAACACAUACUAUAGCAGCAUGGAAAGAGGGAAAAGCAUAUCUAAAUGGACAGAUUGAUGAACAUGGGAGAGCAGUGCCGAGACAGUUAGUCCAUGUGAGUGUUUUAUGCGACUCUUUGUAUUUCUGUCUUGUAAAUGUAAUAUUUACCGUUGAUCAGGUGGGUUUUUAUUUUAAUCUGUGGUGCUACAUUCAUAAUUUGACAACAUAACACAGCAGGUAUCUGGCAAAGAACAUCACCUGCUAUACACAAAUAUGUGCAUCUUGCAUAUAAUACACACAAUUUUAUAUCCUAGGGAUUCAUGCAAUAAUAAGGUCUUUAUGUGUCUGCGUGGUUUGGAAUUAUUUUGGAAUCUUAUUUAAAAGACACAAGAAGAAACUUAUAAUUUGAUGCCUUUAAGAAUCACUUCUUGGGUACAGAAGCAGCCUUCCUUGUGAAGCUGUUUCAAUGACUCUUCUGUUGCGUAUGAUGCGAACUCAUUAAUGAUCAUUAGGAAGCGUUCAAAACAUUGUCACAACUUAAAUCAGUAAUAGUUUGUCUCCAAACAAGUAAAACAAAUGUCAACGUUAACUUGAAUUCUGUGGUAGUAUGACAGACCCACAAAUGGGCCAUCGCAUGCAACCACUGUCAAACUGAUGCUCAUGUAAUCUUAGUCCUCGUUAGCAUAAAUGUGAAUGUUUACAUGGUAAACUGUCUGUGUGGUCAUAUGGUAGUUUUUGUAGCAUGCUAGGGUUAAUAAUUUUGCUUUGACUGGUUCAUUAUUGAUUUUUCAGGCUGGACCAUAUGAUAAUAUGAAAGAUGUUGUGUUGAAAAUUUUACAAAAUGGGGUUGCUACGGUUCCAAUUAUCCAUUCAUCUUCAGAAGAUGGCUCAUUUCCGCAGCUAUUGCAUCUUGCUUCACUGUCUGGUAUUUUAAAAUGUAAGCUCUUUGGAAACUUAUUGAAUAAUACCGUAGGUUCAGUUCGUAAUUGGUACUGAUAAAUGUCAAUUUGCAGGUGUUUGCAGGUACUUUAGGCAUUCAUCUAGCUCAUUACCCAUACUUCAAGCACCAAUAUGUGCAAUUAAUGUGGGUACUUGGGUUCCGGAAAUUGGAGAGACGAAUUGUCGGCCAUUAGCAACGUUGAGACCAAGUGCUUCGCUUAGUGCAGCUCUAAACUUGCUAGUUCAAGGUAAGCCUUGUGGUUGAGCUGUAGAAUUUUUGAGUGUGCAGCAAUUGUCAUGAAGUGGGAUGCCUUCUCGAAUGCACACAUAUCCAUGCAUUGUGCUGGCUUCUGCUAGCCUGCUACUGUAGGAAGUGGAUCAAAUUAUCUGAAUUUAAAUUGUGUUUAAGGAUUUGUUACAAUUAAUUUUUAGGUUAUGAAUGGAUGACCUUGUAUUGUAGCACCAAAGUUUUAGGGUUAGCGAGUAUUUUAGAUAUGCAUCCCAUCAUGCUAACUCAAAUGCGUUUUUGUGUUUGCUUUGCAGCUCAAGUAAGUUCAAUACCUAUAGUUGAUGAUAAUAACUCUUUACUGGAUAUAUAUUGUCGAAGGUUAGUUGUAAUUCUAUUUGGGUAUAAUUCCUAGUUGUUGUCUUGAUUGAGUGAAAUAAAUAAUCAGCUGUUUUUUAUUUUAACAAACCAUUACUGAUAUUUUUCCAUUCACAUUUUCUUGACAGUGACAUAACAGCUUUGGCUAAAGAUAGAGCAUAUGCACAUAUUAAUCUCAAUGAAAUGACUAUUCAACAGGUAACUGGUGUAAUUCCUGAACAUAGUUGUUUUCCGGUUUCCAUACAAAUUUUCUUCACUCUUUUGUGCAUCUUAAAUGUCAUAUGGAAUGAGAGUUCUUCAGAUGCAUUAGAGACAGAUUUCCAAUCAUUUAUUUAUUUUGGAGGUCAGGAGAUUUAGGGGCCUUAUGGUUUUGUGAAUUUAAAGUUGUGGUUUAGUUAGGGGGCUCCUCUUUCAGUUUGAAGGAAUAUUUUCUUUGACAUUUUCACUACAUAUUUACACAUUCUGGUGGAAGAGACAGUCCGGGUUGCUUUUGGCUUUUGGAGAAGCUUCAAGGGAUGUAGUCUUAGUUCUUAUCUUUGUUUUUGUAGGCAUUGCAGUUGGGACAAGACUCAUUUUCUCCCUUUGAACCAAGAGGUCAAAGAUGCCAGAUGUGUUUGCGCAGUGAUUCUCUGCAUAAAGUGAUGGAGCGAUUGGCCAAUCCAGGUAUUUCUCUAUUCACUUUUGUAUUUAGAAAUGUUAAAGACUUAAUGUUUCGAUGCUGUUACGUAAAGGUGCAGAGUCGUGAUCAUGUAGAGAACGAUAUGUCCAGCCAAUCUUCCCACUUAACUUCCCUCAAAUCUUGGAUUUCAGGUGUCAGACGACUGGUGAUUGUAGAAGCUGGCAGUAAGCGGGUGGAAGGCAUUGUUUCACUUAGUGACGUUUUCAAGUUCUUGCUUGGUUAGCUCCAAAAAACAAUGGUUGAAAAAGCUAGAAGGAGUUCGAUCAGUGGUUCUCGAUGUCACACAUGUGUAGAUGGGCGCCAUCUCCUCCUACCCCAACUGUUGAUUAGAGAAUCCAGUACCUUACACGGUGACUUGUUCUCAUUUCAUUCAAAUAUACAAUUGGAUUGGCUUCUUUGCUUCGCCUGGUUUUUUUAGGAUUUUGAAGAAAGAGGCCUGUAAAUUGAGAGGAAUUCAUUUCCUCAGAAAUUUGUUGGCCUUCUCCCUCCCCUGUUAUUUACAUUGUGCUGCCGAUGUAGAUUUGAUGUAGCCGAAUACAGCGGGGCUCCUGCAUUAGUUUUCUGUUGAAAAAUUAGGGGGACAAUGAUGGAACAAAACGAUGGGGGGGUGGAGGAAUGCUGAACAAUUGAAGCCAUUGGGUACCUACUGCUAUAUGCUUACCUGUAGUUGUUGACAUGUAAUUUGCUUUUUUUCCGAUUUCGUUUCGUAUUUUUCGUCUUGUGGUUUGAUCUUCAAACGUAUUGUAAGUAGCAGGCAAAUGGAGAACUCAAUGAACAGAACCAUGUAUUGCUGUGUAUUGGUUACAAAGCUUAUCUUUUGUAAAAAGAUAAUUAAAAUAAGUUCUCUAAAAUCACCCAAAUGUGGGUGGGACAUGGAUUAUUUGAUGCCAACUUUCUUGUAAGAAAUCUGAUUUUAAUUAUUGUUUUUUUACACCCAAAUUAGUCCUUGAGAUUGUUAUAACUAUUCACUUUGGUCAUUGAGAUUUGAAAUCGAUAGAAGUGGUCUAUGGUUUGCCUAAAGUCAAUUACUUUGGUCAUUUCGUGAAAAUUGUUGUUAUAUAAGGAUCAAAAGGACAAAAAUACAAUCAUCUUAAUAAAUCUGGGCUAAAAUGAUUUAACAAAAAUUGAAGGUAUUUUUAUCCUUUUAUUCUUAUUUAACGAAGAUUCUUCGCAGAAAGACUGAAAUUGAUCGUGGACAAAUUCAGGAGUUAGUUUUAUCGAUUUUAAAUUUCAGGUAUCAAAAUGAGGAUUUAUGACAAUUUUAUAGACUAUUUUGACUAAAAAAAUGGAUAAAAGAUUAUAGAUUCGCGGUUGAUUGAUUCAGUCUUGUAGCUAUGAAUAAGAGCGGGAGUGCAGAAGAAAAAAAAAAGGAGCGAAAGUUUACUUCACAGAAUGAUCAGAGUGCGAUGAAAAUGGAAAAGUCAGGUUUGUAGGAAAUCUUUGUUUUUAAUAUUAGUUUUAUCUUUAUAAAAUAUCCAAAUACCAAAUUCCACCUCUAUAAAACUUCUUCAAAGUAUAAGAAGCUCUUGAGAAUAUUAAAGAAUCUGUUAUUCUUCCAUGAAGAAUUCGUCUAAUAAUUUAUAAAUCUAACUUUUAAAAAAAGUUUGUAUUGCACUUUUAUGUUUACAAGCCAAAAAUUUAACACAAGAAAGUUGAAGUAUAUAUUAUAUGAACUAAAUCAUAAUAAUUAAGUAUCAAAUGAAUCCAACCUAAAAUGACUAAUUAUAUCACUUUCUCCAAGUGUUUGGAGUGAAUUUCAAAAUAGUCUAUAAAUUUUUAAUUUUUCAAUUUGCACUAUUGGGUCUAGUUUUAACAUACACAUUUUGAUCAAAUUGAUUGAUCAUUCAUUUAUUUGAUGACAUGUGAGUUAUUUUGCAAAGAACUCAUCAAUUUAACAUAGAUUUAGAUGCGCUCAAGAUAAAAGGUAUAACUACAUUAUUGCUGACCCAUUGUAGGCUAAAUCCACCAAUUUUCUCUUAGUGUAAAUAAUAUCGUUUGUUAAAAAAAAAGUUAUUGUUGCAAUCAUAUUUAGAAUAAGAAUGAUUGUGUAAAUCCUAGUGUAUCUAGUGAUAUUUUUUAAUAUUCCCAUCUUAUUAAAGUUGUAAUUCUAAAAAGGUAAGGAUUUAACAUAUUCUACUACUAUAAAUAAAGGCACAAUGGGUAAUACAACAGACACCUCACAGUUAAAUCUCUCUCUUUUCACUCUUAUUGCCACCCACCUCCCCCUCUUUAUCCCCUUAGAAUAGUUCAGUCAAAUAGGCCUACAACAUUUAUAAAUUGUAAAUUUUAUUUAAACCCAACUAUCUUACCUUCAAACCCAACUUAAAUAUUUUUGCCAUUAAAUUCUCCAUUUUGCCCCGACGUUAAUUAGAAAGUAAAAAUAAAUUAAAAGAACAUGAACCCACAUAUAUGCCCACCACUUUUCAGCAUCUUCUUCACUGAUGCUGGCGUGAAUCUCUUGUCGCCGGCGUCUCUUAACCACCUCCUCUUCCGUAUUAUCUCUCUCCUCAUUUGUCCCUCUCCUUCCUCUAUUUCUCACGCUCUUCAAUCAUAACGCCGGCAUCGGAGGCCUACAAGCAUAUUUGAAGCAACGUGAGGGCGAGGAGUGGCAGCCGCCCUUCCCUUAGCCGGAAAACAUGCCUAGGACCGCUUCGAUUGAAACUUGCACAAGUGGUGUGUCGUGGUAGUCCUUGGCUGAAAAAGAGCUCCUUCCUACAACUUUCAUGUCAGGGCGUUUGGCAUACAUCGUUGAGUCUGUAGAAAUGGAGACCAAAAGUCGUACGUCAACUAGUGUGGUGCUUUUGCUGCUGUUCAACUACUUGAAGCUACUUUUGCCGCAACUCAUUCAAACAGUCGGAGACGUGAAGAUCAAGAGCAAGAAGCUGAAGCAUAGUGCUUGAUAAUGCAUAGGAUACUCAAAUUGAGACAAUCCAAGGGUAGAACUUCCUCUCUAGUUACAAGUUUACGAGUGGUACAGAGCCAACAGUGCGGAGAACCACAAAUGUCUAUGGCCGAGAAGGGAUGGCGGAGUCGUCGACGAGGAAGGCGUUGAGCCGAAGAGGGAUCAUUUAUCUUGUAUGGACAAUUCGAAGUCAAAACUUGUGGAAACUAAAUGGUGUGCCAUAUAAGGCAGUUGUGACGCUAAAAGAAUUUGAAUUGAAGUUGCCAUGAAGAAUCGCCGGUGAGUCUUCCGUGGGGUUUGAGGUGGAAGAGAACCAUGGGCGUGAAAAGAGAUUUCAGUUUUGUUUAUUUCUUUUUUUCAAUUUUAAUCAAAGGAUGAAUUAGGAAUUUUAAGAAAAUAUUUUUUGUAUUGGGUGUAGAAAGAAGUUGAAUGGGUUCCAAUAAAAUUACCCAAUUUUAAAUCUCUUAAGUCUUAAUACAAUUUUGAAAUUUAAAUGUUCUUCUUAUUGAAAACAAAAAAAAAAAAAAAAAUCCCUCUGAUUUAAUGGUUUUUGAGGAGCGACCCAAACAAAAGGCGCAGGAAAAUAUAUUUUAAAGUUUUUCGGAUACAAAAUUAGUCGGAGUCGUACCGUCGUCUUCCCGAUCUGAAGCGUAGGUGUGAUCAGUCGCGUCAACCACCGCCGGCGGAGGAGAAAAUGGUGAAACAAAGAGGAGAAGAGUUGACCGAAGACGAAAAGAAGGCCUUAAGAGGCAGCAAAUUCGCGCCUCUCCCAUCCUUGCCCCCUCCUCGUUGCCAACCCAGGUUUCUUUUCCAUCCUUCUUCUUCCUCAUCUCUUAAUUUAGGGUUUUCUUUGUUCCCGUGAGUGAUUACAUACAACUAUAUGUAUGGAUAUAUGUAUGUGUAUCUAUAGGUUGGCUCAUCCUGGAGGUCCGUUGACAACGAACAAAGCGGCGGCGUUGGCGAAAUUUCUCGAGAGAAAGCUACAGAAUCCCGAUGGAUUGGAAUCCAUCAACCCGCAUCUUCUCGAACGCGCUGUUCAGAACGCUAAACGCACCGUUUUUGCAAGUAAUUACACUCUGUUCAAUUGAGCAUCUUGUUAAUCACAGGCAUUUUACUCCAAUCAAAUGUGAUUAAGUUAAAAUUGGGAUUUUUUUGAGUUAAUCAGGUGGCGCAUCGAAUUCUGGAAUCCGAAUACGGCAUGUUGACUCCUUUGAUGACUCUGAGACUGAGGUAAUUAUGUGUUUUGCUUUCAAGUUUUGGCUCCAUUUAGUCUUCGAUUACCAUGGUACUUGUAGCUCAAGUGAUUAAGUUAAGCGUAGGUAGUAGUUACCGUUGCACCCGAGGUACUCCGUUUGAUUUCCUCGCCCUCGAUAUUGGUUGUAUGGAAAGAAAAUGAGAUUACUUCCUCGAGUGUUUUUAUGAAAUUUGGGUGAAAAAUGCAGGACCCUCAACAGGAAGAAAAUGUGGAGAUUUCAGAGCUCAAGAAGCUGAAGAAGAAUAAGAAGAAGAAGAAGAUGAUGAAAAGUGAGAAGAAAAAGAGACAACAAAAGGUUGUUAACUUAUCACAGGCAAUUGUCUCAUUGACGGGGGUUUGUCUCUCGUUUUUCACUCGUUUUCUUUACGGGUUUAGGGAAGUGAAUUUCCGCACACCCCUUACUCACACUACCUACCGAUGUUUAUCUUUGGAUUUUGGAUUGAAUAAACCAAAGGCGGAUGAUCUUAUGCGGAAAUCAUUUCUUAUACGUUUAGGGGGCGUAUGUUUGCCCUCACUAAGUGGGACUGGACUGGACUGGACUAGCUGUUAGUCCAAUACUGUGUUUGUUCCAUGCUAGGACUAACAUUAAUGAGACUAAAGGGGACUAGCAUGGACAAAACCUUUCACUAAGAGGUCUUAGUGAGACCCCCCAAUAACCAUGGGACUAGCUAAGACUAUCCUCUCUCGUCCUCGUCAUGCUCAACAACCACUCCCAAUAGACUCCUCGUCAUCUCCGGUCACCUAGAUCAUAAUAAAAUAUUAAUAAUUUAUAUAUUAAAUAAUAUAAUAUUAGAAUUUGUUAUUAUCCAGUUUUGUAGUCUAACACUGCAUCAAACGCUUCAUUAAGUUAGUCCAGCUUAGUCUAGUCUAAGCCAGUCCAGCUUAGUCCUUGAAGCUAGUCCAGUCCGAGAUAGUCCGGCACAACAAACGCCCCCUUAAGGUAGCCUCGUUUCUUAUGAUAGUAACUUGUAACUUGUGAUGUGCUGCAGGUUAUGGAAGACUCGGGGGGCGGUGUGGUAAAAAGGCCUAAAAAGAAGAAAGUAAAGUUGUGAUGGGGGUGAAAUUAGGGUUCAACUUUUGUGCCUGCAAGUAGAGGCUUCAGAAGCAAAAGCUAGGUGGAAGUUGUGAAUUGUUCACUUUUGUACCAAAUGUAAGGGGCAUCAUUCUUUGAAUUAUACACUGAUUUUCUUGUCUCUUUUUACAUGACAGGUGUUCUGAUAUUUGUUAUGAUACGUUUUUUAAUUGUGAAAUCCAUAGAUCUCUAACUACUUGCUACAAUUAUUCGUUAAGGAGAUUUUCUAUGAUGCCUUUGAUAUCGGAUAUUCCAAAAUUUUCAACCAUUAGAUCUUUAGUUAAGAACGCAAAAAUUGAGAUAUAACCAUAUUAUCUGUCCAAUUAACCGAUUAGAUUAACAGUUUAACUAUAAUAGGCAGCUUUUAUUGACAUUCUAAAAAAUUCAUUUUGCAGUUCAUUCUUAACAAUACGAGAGAUUUUGUAAAGAGUGCAUAAUGAUCUUCUUGAAGUGUCAAUGACAUUUCUCGUAUAAUAUGAAAGGAUUUACACCCAUCAUUUCUUUGGGAUUAUUUUUUUUGAAAUACAAAUGAUAUUAUAAAUAUAAUUUACACUGGAGGGAGGGGGAGUGUUUGAAACGGAGAGAAUUUUAUUCAACAAUACGCACAGCACCUACGUGAUGUACGAUGAUAUUAUAAAUAUCAUUUGAAAUGCAAGUGAUAUUAUAAAUAUAAUUUACACUAGCUGCAUGAUGUACGAUGAACGAAUGUGAUUAGAGGAUCCUCGGAAUCCUCACUCCACAAAAUACGCACAGCACCUACAUUUAGGGUGUCAAGUGGAACCAUGUAAGCACCAACGCCAGUGUCUGAUUCCUAACAAUGCCCAUGCACUUGUGUAUUUCUCCGUAAACCGAAGGGUUCUGCGGACAGAAUGGCUGCAAGCUAGUCACGGCUUCGUCUAAUACUUGGGCGACCUCGGCCGGUGGAAACUGCCGUGCUGUACAAGUCUGCAUUUCGGGUGAGAAAAACCAAAAGCAAAGGUUAUAAACAGGUGAAUCCCUCAUUUUAUAAACUUGAUUGCUUGAAGAAAAUGGGGAAUUUCAGAUACGCGAGAGAAAAGCGUUGAUUGUAAUCCCUCAUUUUCUUAAUUACUCAAGUUUAUGAAUGGAUUGAACUAACAUAAGAAAUUAACCAAUUACCUGAAUCAUCAAAUUUAUGUUGUCAGAGUAGCAAUGGACAUUUACUCACUGCAAUCAUACUUCUGCAUAGCUGCAUCAACCAUUUUGCGGGCUUUUGCUCUUGAACUUUCAACAAUAUCACACACAUGACCUGCCGAUUCUUGGGCAUGACAAGAAUACCCAGAAGAGCUUGAAUUGCCACCAGGGUCUCCUAAACUUUCCACGGGCUUCGCCAAGCUAACUGCUAACUGCGGGACUCACUCUGUAUGUGUUGCAUUGUCUUAAGCAAAAAAGAGCAGAAGAAACCUGCGCAUGAAAGGCAAUCAGCUUGCUUAUAGUUGCAAUCAAAUACCAACAUGAUUAGAUGCUGAUACCUGGUCAUUGACUUGACUCCAACUGUAAUUUCAAGGCCCUGAAUGUAUCAGAUACUCCAAGAAGUGCACUCAUUGUUUUGGCAGCUGGAAACCACAACUAACCUGUGUCUGCUUUGAUGAUUUGAUGCUAUGAUGAGUCGAUGGCUGGAUAUAACAGGGAACAGCGCUCUCCACAUGGUCUCAAGAGGCAACCUUAUACCCUUCAGUCUUUCCUUCUUUCAGGUGUUCAUUAAUCUUGAGCUCCUUUAGGUUCUCAAUAUAUUUGUUGACAUUGACAUUGUGCUUUGUGAAAGAAGCAGGUAAAUUCUCCACUGGAUUCAAUGGCAUGCAAUCGAUAUCUUGUCAUGAAAUAUGUUACACCAUACCAUUAAAAGGAACGGGAACUGAAAAGGUGUACGUUAUCAUACACAUGACAUUGAAGACAUCAUUCAAUCAUUAUAAAUAUGUAAUAUUUCCAAAGAUAUGUGAGGGGGGUACUUACCAUCAUAUGUUCAACACCUAGUUCAGGCUGGUCAAACUGAACACUGACACCUACAAUGGUCGACGGUUAGUACAAUUCCGUUGUGGAUCUCUCUUGUCCUGGGAUGAAAGGCAAUGACAUGCUGUUCUACUGAUAAAGGACGAGCUAAGUCAGUUGGAAGUUCUUCCCUCGUUCCAGCAUUAAGUUCAGCAUAAUGUGUUCUAACAGAUUCCCGGUACUGAUUAAGCUUCUCUUUUUCUUCCUUCAGAAACUGCUCAGAAAAUCUCCGCGGUCUGCCAAGGGAACUGCAUCAACGAGCACCAGCAAAAAUUUGGCAGAACUUUAUUAAAAAAUUCUCCAAAAGGCAAUGUCAUUUUCGAUUCAAAAGUAGCCCCUAAAAAAGAGAAGUUCCAAUCAAAGAGGAAGGUCAGGGACAUUUACCUCCGUAUGACACCCCAUUCAACACGAGUUAAUCUUGGAACAUGACCUAAUCCAACAUGAUUCAAGUACUCCACAAACUCCCUUGUAGCAAGCCAUGGGUAAUCAAUUGCACUGUAAAACCAUUCAAAAGCACACCAUCUUUGCACUUGAUACCGAGACAAGCAAUUAGAAGGUUUUUCCUGAAAAUGUAAACAUACACCUAUAAAUGAAACAAAAUAGAAUGAAAAAUAUCUAGGUGGCAAUAUAAAUGACACGCCACACCGUAACCUUAAUAUUUAGUUCUCUGUUACGAAAUGAAGGAACCAGUUUGUCAGGCUGUUCAUCUACAAUACCCUCAGUAGACCUUCUAUCCUUCUCCAUUGAUGAUUUUUGCAUGUCUAGCUCAGCAGAAGAAAAUGCAUUCCGUGGAGGAUUCACCAAUUUCCCUUGCCUUGGGUGUGUAAUAUAAUGAGAAGGCUGUUUACCUUUAUUCAUAGACUUAUUCACCUCAACUGUAGCCUGAAAUCAAGUGUAAAUACCAAAAUUUAAUAGAAAUUAAAGGCACGUGAAAAUUAAAAAGACUAAUCCACAUUGUAACUAGCAUAAGAAAUGACAUGAUAAAAUGGAAAUUAUAUUUUUGAUCUUAAAGUCUUCUGAACUUCCAAAAUAGCAAUCUAAGAAGAAAAGGGGGAGAGAGAGAGUCCGAAUGAAAAGGCAGCACGCCUCAAUCUGUUGAUUGUCACUCCAAUGACAGUCUGUUUGAGCGUCAUUAUAUACCUGCCAUUAAUGUCACAAAUGUUCAUCAAUUUAAGCCAAAACAAGAUGGACCAUAUUAAGCACGUCGAGUAAAGAAAAACUAAGCGAAUUUUUAGGGGAAGUGAUACUUGUCCUUACUUUAAACGGAAACAGUUGUUUUCUUCUUUGCAGUCCGGUGUUAGACUGAUGACCUCCCUCUUUAAGGUUACCCGGUUUAGAUGUUUUCAAAGCAGUGUGUUCAACCCCAGGAAUUGAGCGACUCCUUUUUGUUUUAGACUCGUUAGCAAUACAAAUAUCUUCUUCCCAGACAUAUGCAGAAGACUCUAAACACAGAACCAACAAAAAAUGAUUGUCGAGUCAAAUACAAUCAGUUAGCAGUUUAAGAGUGUUUAUACCAUAUUUAGGGCCUCGUAUUUAGACCUUGUAUAAAUACUCGGGGGACUUAAAUAUAAUUAUGUAAUAAAGAAGAGGCAAAUAUGUAAUUAGGGGAGGAGCCCUUAUUCUAUAAAAGGGCCUCCUCACCCUCACAAACCCUAAGUCUCUCCUCACCCCUCUCAAAGCUUUCACUCUCAGAGCUCUCUCUUCCUCACUUCUCAGAGAAAUAUAAUACAAUCAGUGUGGACGUAGCCCAAACCUUGGGGUGAACCACGAUACAUCUUGUGUUAUUACAUUUCAUUUCAUUCAUUCAUUUACAUGCAGAUUCACGGUCGGAUUUACGUUGUUCCAAGACCUCCGAUUUUGUGCAUCAACAUUUGGCGCCGUCUGUGGGAAUCGAUACGAAAAGUUGUGUCGGUUCUCUUUUUAUUUUUUCACCUCCGCCGUGAAUAUGCAGAAACUCAAUAACCAUGCAAUCAGAGAACCAAAUCAUGAAGCCACCACUAAGAUUGAAACUGUUGCUAGUGUUCUCAUCAAUAGUUUUGAUGUCGUACAAGUGUCAGGCAUGAGCUACCAACCUCCAAGAAUCGGGCAGGAGCUACCAUGUCAGGCAGGAGCUACCAAUCUCUCUCUAGACUCUUUCUCUCUAACCAACAAGAGAUCCGACAGACAGAGGCCCAUGUUCAAGGUGAUCAACAUUCCAGCCCACGCUAUGAGACCCACAAAAACCUGAGCACCGGUCCAUCGCACCAGCUCCGCGGCUCAGGCCCCUUCAACGGGAAGUCCUCAUUCGCCUUCCCUGUGACCCGCAAGGCCAACAACGACGCCAAAGAAUAUCACAUACCAUUUUUUGGUGAGUCAAUGAGAUACACUGGAAAGUUCAGCUCCACCACUCUAAUCUUGUAAAGCCGCCACCUUUGCCGCUCAUCACCACCUCAUCGACAACCCAAACCGAACCGUUACUGAAGAGGUCCACACCAUAUUCAUCACUGGUUUUCCAGAGGAUGUGAAAGAGAGAGACCAGAAUCUGCAGAUGCACAGGAAUUUCAGAGAUGGGAGUUCAGCGACGUUAUUUCCCACACGCUACCGCCUUCAACCUCCACACGACGCCACUAGUCAGCAAUCAUGUGCGUCUGUCGCGCUUUUGUGUCUAUGACUGUUUAAGGCGAGAUCAGUCCAGGGGUGUGCGUUGGGGGCCUCUGAUAUGUCGGUUGCCAUCUGGCGUCUGUGAUGGGAAGGACACAUACCUCGCGAGAAGACAGUGCCUUCUCAAACCAUACUUUCCUCGUCAGUCUUACAGACCCCCCGCGUGAACGAUACAGACGAUCUCGCAUCCAUCGUAUCCCUUGUUUUCUCCCACCAUCCUCAUUUGACCACUGGUCCAACCUCUGUCACACACUCUUUCUCUCUCUCUUUCUCUCUCAAUGGAUGCUGAUUCUUCGGAAAAGUCAUCAUCCUUGAGCUUACCUCUAAUCCUUGGUAAGGAGCAACAUGAGCAAGCUGGAAGCAAGGGACUUUUAAGCACCUAGCAGUGGCGCAUUUGGGCAUUCAGUAGCAAGGAUGAGUUGGGUCGGACGAGAGAACCCCCUUGAUGUCGUAUAAGUGUCAGGCAGGAGCUACCAACCUCCAAGAAUCGGGCAGGAGCUACCAUGUCAGGCAGGAGCUACCAAUCUCUCUCUAGACUCUUUCUCUCUCUAACCAACAAGAGAUCCGACAGACAGAGGCCCAUGUUCAAAUACUGAGGCCUAUGUUCAAGGUGAUCAACAUUCCAGCCCACGUUAUAAGACCCACAAAAACCUGAGCACCGGUCCACCGCACCAACUCCACGGCUCAGGCCCCUUCAACGGGAAGUCCUCCUUAGCCUUCCCUAUAACCCGCAAGGCCAACAACGACGCCAAAGAAUAUCACAUACCGUUUUUUGGCGGGUCAAUGAGAUACAUUGGAAAGUUCAGCUCCACCACUCUAAUCUUGUAAAGCCGCCACCUUUGCCGCUCAUCACCACCUCAUCGACAACCCAAACCGAACCGUUACUGAAGAGGUCCACACCAUAUUCAUCACUGGUUUUCCAGAGGAUGUGAAAGAGAGAGACCAGAAUCUGCAGAUGCACAGGAAUUUCAGAGAUGGGAGUUCAGCGACGUGAUUUCCCACACGCUACCGCCUUCAACCUCCACACGGCGCCGCUAGUCAGCAAUCAUGUGCGUCUGUCGUGCUUUUGUGUCUAUGACUGUUUGAGGCGAGAUCAGUCCAGGGGUGUGCGUUGGGGGCCUCUGAUGUCGGUUGCCAUUUGGCGUCUGUGAUGGGAAGGACACAUACCUCACAAGAAGACAAUGCCGUCUCAAACCCUACUUUCCUCGUCAGUCUUGCAGACCCCCCGCGUGAACGAUACAGACGAUCUCGCAUCCAUCGUAUCCCUCGUUUUCUCCCACCAUCCUCAUUUGACCACUGGUCCAACCUCUGUCACACACUCUUUCUCUCUCUCUUUCUCUCUCAAUGGAUGCUGAUUCUUCGGAAAAGUCAUCAUCCUUGAGCUUACCUCUAAUCCUUGGUAAGGAGCAACAUGAGCAAGCUGGAAGCAAGGGACUUUUAAGCACCUGGCAGUGGCUCAUUUGGGCAUUUAGUAGCAAGGAUGAGUUGGGUCGGACGAGAGAACCCCCUUGGUGGCUUCGGUGUCUCCCACACACGCUGGGGACACAGAUUUUUCUAACAUUUGCAAGUGGAGCAAUCAUGUGCUCACAUGUUAAAAGAAAAAAAAAAGGCAGUGAAAAGAGAAAAAGAAAAAGGGAUCAGGCCUGUUUUCAUCCACUGCGCCUACAAAAAUUAAAAAAAAAAAAAAGAGUGAGAAUGGACCGGUUCAUAUACUGAUAAUGAUGAGUAUUUAGAUCAAUACAGGUGGUUGAAGGAGGAGCAGUGGAGUAAAGUGGGGUUUUCAAAAAUGUAAAGUGGAAGAUAAUAUGCUCGAUGCUCAGAUUGAUGUAGCCUAUGCAGCAUUGGAAGAUGCUGGGUUUUCAAAAAGAUGGAAAUUAUUAUACAGGGUGGGCUUCACGUGGGGGUGACGAUGAAGCUGCAACUUUUGGUGCGAUGGGGUCUAUGAUCUGACUCCAUUGUUUCUACUCAUCCCUCUCGUCGCAGAGACACUGUAAAGAUUAAUUAGGUGCACAUGCAUGACAUCAACGCACAGACAGACAGAAAAAGAACGCAGUGGGAAACAGAAACAAAAGCAGAAAGCAAAAGAGAAAGCAAAAGUAAGGAAUAAACACCCCACCAGAAUGAUGUGAUUUACUUUUGUUAUUUCUGAAUGAUGUAAUUUAUUUUCCUUAUCUUUCGGACACAUUUGUAUAAACCUCAUCAGAGGGUUAAAAAAAAAAAAAAGCAAAGCCCAAAAUAAAUGGGCUGGAAUGUUGUGUGGAGGUCGAAGGCCCAUAAGCCUAAAAUAGCUCCAACUAGGCGAUCAAAAGUACGCCCAGUACUCCACAAUUAUUCGACAACCUGCCGUUAUUACCACCAACCAGGUGAUCAAAAGUAUGUUCAGUACUCCAAAAUUAUCCGGCAACCUGCCGCUAUUACCACCAACCAGGUGAUCAAAUGUACAAUCCGUACUCUAAUAUCAUUUGGCAACUAGCCAUUCAUGCCACCAACCAGGUGAUGAAAAGUACAACCCGUACUCUAAAUAUUAUUUGGCAACCAGCCAUUCAUGCCACCAACCAGGUGAUGAAAUGUAAAACCCGUACUUUCCUUCAUGCCACCAACCAGGUGAUCAAAAGUACGCCCAGUACUCCAAAUUAUACAUGAGCAUUACUUAUGUCAUUCAUACAUAAACAUUCAUGAGCAUCACUCAUGACAAUCAUACAUAAACAUUCACGACCAUCAUUCAUGUCAACAUUCAUGAGCAUCACUCAUGUUAACAUUCAUGAGCAUCACUCAUGACAACAUCCAUGAGCAUCACUCAUGUCAAUCAACAUAAACAUUCAUGAGCAUCACUCAUGUCAAACAGCUUCAAAAACUUCAUUUACAGAGCUCUAGCUUUAAAAGCUUCAUUUACAGAGCUCUAGUUUAAAAGCUUCACUUGCAAAGCUUCACCUACAAAGCUUUAGUGCAGGGUAUAUUAAUACCGCCUUCGAACAACCCCCACUUCGGCCCAUACAUGGAUCCAAUUUGAAGUCUCCAGCCAACAGACUUUAUUGACCGAAGACUUGGGGGACUACAUUAUGUACCAUAUAUUGGGCCUCAACUGGGCCUCAUGAAAAAUACUUGGGGGACUUAGCCCAUUACUUAUGUAUUGAGGAGCGAGCCCUUAUUCUAUAAAAGGGACUCCCUUACUUUCACUAGAGAGCACCCAUCAUUUAUGUAUUGAGGAACGAGCCCUUAUUCUAUAAAAGGGACUCCCUCACCAUCAUUAGAGAGCAUCAACUCUAGCCCAUCAUUCAUGUAUUGAGGAGCGAACCCUUAUUUUAUAAAAUGGACUCCCUCACCUUCAAACGCCGUAAGCCGAGCUAACCAAGGCAACAUAAGCCACGAGCUGAACAACCUCGCAGCGUGUGCUACUUCUAGUUGAGCGUCAUUUUAGAUUGAGCACUGCCUUAGAGAGCAUCGCCACCUACUGAGCAACCGCCUCGCCGCGAGCAUCAACUCUAGCCCAUCAUUUAUGUAUUGGGGAAUGAGCCCUUAUUCUAUAAAAGGGACUCCCUUACCAUCAUUAGAGAGCAUCAACUCUAGCCCAUCAUUCAUGUAUUGAGGAGCGAGCUUUUAUUCUAUAAAAGGGACUCCCUCACCUUCAAACGCCGCAAGCCGAGCCAACCAAGGCAACAUAAGCCACGAGCCAAGCAACCUCGCAGCAUGUGCUACUUCUAGUUUAGUAUCAUUUCAGAUUGAGCACUGCCUCAUAUCGAGCAUCAGUUCAAGACAGCAUCUAGUUACUUCGGCCCACACAUGGACUGAAUUUCAAGUCUCCAGCCAAAAGACUCUCUUGACUGAAGACUUGGGGAACUACUUUUUAUACCAUAUUUAGGGCCUCGUAUUUAGACCUCGUAUAAAUACUCGGGGGACUUAAAUAUAAUUAUGUAAUAAAUGAAGGAGCAAAUAUGUAAUUAGGGGAGGAGCCCUUAUUCUAUAAAAGGGCCUCCUCACCCUCACAAACCCUAAGUCUCUCCUCACCCCUCUUAAAGCUCUCACUCUCAGAGCUCUCUCUCCCUCACUUCUCAGAGAAAUAUAAUACAAUCAGUGUGGACGUAGCCCAAACCUUGGGGUGAACCACGAUACAUCUUGUGUUAUUUACAUUUCAUGCAGAUUCACGGUCGGAUUUACAUUGUUCCAAGACCUCCGGUUUUGUGCAUCAACAAAGAGGAUCUAUAAUGUAAACUGCAAUAACAUUAAAAUCAGCCUAUUUAGCUGAUUUUGUAAAUCCUUCAGACAUCCAAAAGCAUACUUAAGGAAAACUGACACAAAAGACUUCUCAAACUAUUGAUAAGAAGUACAGAUAAAACAAAGACAAACAUAAUGUUAAACUUUUUCAAGCAUGCAAAGUCUAAUUCCAAUUAAUAUCUACAUGAACUACAAAUAAACACUUUUUAAUUUAUUUUAUUUUAUUUUUAUAAAAGAGAUAAGAAGAAAGAUUGAUGGGAAGUUGAUAAUUCAAGCAAAAACAUUGUAUUUGAUCAAAACCUCUUGAUAAGGUACCAGAUAAGCUACUAAGAAUUUUUUAAUUUUGAAAUUGAAUGCUAGCAUUAGAAGGAGAAAAUGAAAAACACAAACUAAACAUUAAUAAAUUAAAUACAUACACCUCUUAAAAGAAGGACAUGAUAAGAGAUCAAACCCAAAGUUCCUAGCAAAAGAGGGUUAUAAAAGCUACUUUUCAAAGCAUAAUGUGUUGCCUAUAUAAGCAGUUUUGGGCAUCAUCAAGGAUAGAUCUGCCAAAGUUUGUAGUGCAUCAAAGGGAGAGCUGCAUGGAGAAAAGAGUUAAAAUGAAUGUUAUCUGGACAUGCUUCAACUGUUUAGAAGACAGCAAUCGAAUUCAAAGGUGCUAUCGAAAACCAUACAUACAAAAACAAAAGCCAAAUCUGACAGAGUUCAAUGCAAGAAACUAGCAACACAAAAUAAACCUACUUCAACUAUACCUGUCCUACACAUCAAAAGUAUGCAGCUCGAAAUUGCAAAGGAAACAUGUUGUACAAAGCGUACCUAAAUAUUAGCUAUAGAGGAAAGGAGAGGUUAAGAAUGGGGAGGGAGCCUGGCUCAAAUGUUUUCUAACAUACCUUCUGCAACCAGAGCUUUUUUACUUUUGUUUCUUUGUUCCUUGUAGAAGGAUCUUGCACUUUUCGCAACUUUAGUUUCAAGUUUUCCCUUGAUAGUACCUUUUUUCUCUCCUUCCUCUGUUCCACUACCAGCUUCUUUAAUGUCUUCAAAAUGAUUGCUUUUACUUUCAACCUUUUGCUUCUUUACAGGGUAUCUUUUCCCAUUGCAUACCUUUGAUCUCUAUCAAAGUAUUCAUUGUCAGGUUCUGUGCUUCCAAAGCUCAAUUCAUAACCACCUUCAUCCAUUACACUAGCACGGCGCUUGGUUGUAGUCAUUUCCGGCUCUGCACACUAUAUGUCAGAAACAACCAUGAAUUUCAAACUAUUAUAGUGAAAGAACUGUUAGGAGAGCAAUUAACCUUUCUUUCAAAUAAUUUUACCAUCAUUUCACGAUUCGUAACAGUUGGUGGUGUGCCUUUGGCUUUUCUCUUAGAUUUCCAAGAAACCAAGGGAGAAUCACCUCUAUGUGAGGCCUCAGUCAAUGCCAAUGCUAUCUCAUGAGCAACAUCAUCGUUUUUAGUGUCUGCACUGGGUUUUAAACCUAGCCUGGCUGGUGAAAUAUACUUUCUACUGUUAUCCUUAUCACUAGAAUAUGCAACAGGGACUCGAGGAGUUCUUUUUUUAACAGCAUGAGGCCUAAUUCCUGAAACAGAUUCCAAGCACAUCAAUGGCAUUAACAUCUUUGAAGCCAAUAUAUGAUUAAGACGAAAAGGCAAAGAGAACUUUGAAGAGAACCAAGAAGAAAAGAAGAGGAAAAGAAAACAAAUGAGAGAGAAGAAAUAAAAAGCAAGUAGAAUAAUUGCAGGAAAAGUAGGUCAAAUGAGUAGAAUAAUUAAAGGAAAAACAAAGAAAUAAAUAACGAAAAUCAUACACACGCGAAGAUCAUAUCAUUUCCCACCUGAGCGCCUAUUGUUUAACAAUGACAAGCAGUCAUUACUUUAUGCCAUUGGAGGGGAUUGUGAAGAAUCUGGGAUAUGUCCUAAUCCUUUUGCGACCUCAGUCUGAAAUUUUACCCUUGCAUGCAUGCUUUUGAGGUUUCCUAGGGGUUCUUACACCCUCAAUGCUUUCUCGUUCACUGUCACUUCCUCCCUGCAAGGCCAGAGUCCUCUAAAUGAGUGCCAUAUGGACCAUUCUCAAAGGACAAGGAUUGUCUGCCCUCCACUUCCGGUGCCCUCCUAUUUGUGCGGUCACGGUUAAGCCACGUCAACAUUUUAUAUUACUAUUCAUUUUUGUCUUAUUAUAUCUAUAAAAAAACAAUAUAAAAUGUUGACGUGACUUAACCGUGACCACACAAAACAGGAGAGCACAGGGAGGACACUAGAAGUGGAGGGCAGACAAUCCUUGUCCAUUCUCAAACCACUAGCUGAAUUUAUACCAACAAUAAAAGAUCAUUAAACUCAUUUACGGAUUAAUACACAUGCACAUGGUCACCAUAAUGGAGGCAAAUAAUUUUCACACCCUUCUCCAUUUCGGGGCUUUGUCCUAAAUAAAUUCAACAAGAAUCGGAGGAAACACAUUAAAAGGGGGUGUGCAGAAAGUGAAAAGGCGUGUCCGGAAAUCAUUUCCCUAAACGGAUAGAAAAAUCGCCAAAUAUUACAUAACAUGACAAUGACAAGUAACUCGAACAGAAAAAAAAGACAUUGAAAAAAAAACAACUUUUAAUCCUAAGGAAGCAAUAAUUAGCAUUUCAUUUUAAGGGUAAAUAAGAAACAAACUUUUGCUCACAUGCUAGUUACCCCUUAGAUCAUCUCCAACCCUUGGACUAAAACCUAAAAAUUUUAGCCCAGAAAAUUUAGGUUUUAACCUAGAAAUCGUUUUUUUGCUCCAAUCCUUUUGAGUUAAAAUUUUAACCCCAGAUCAUUAAAGAAUGAAUUUAGAUUAAUUUGUUUUCUUAAAGUAACUUUUUAAACGAAAAUAUUAUGUAGACUAUACUAAUUUAAUUUUAUGAACAUUAUAACCUAAAAGUAACUUUUUAACCAUGAAAAUCGUGAAACACUAUGAAAGAAUAUGAACACAUAAAAGAUUUUUUUUUAAUUACUUUAGCCGUUGGAUUUAAAUUUGAACUGUUAGAUUUUUUUUUUUUUUUACUGUUGGAUUUCAUCAAAUUAGAUCUUAACCAUUGAACUAAUGAAUUUAUAAAUAUAAAAUUAAAAAAAAAAAUAGAUAUAUAUAUAUAUAUAUAUAUAUAUAUAUAUAUAGUGGACCAACCCCACUAACCCAGGGAAAUCCUGGGCUAAAUUUGGCCCAAAAAUGAGUUUUGAGUUUUAACUCAUAUUUGCCCUAAGGGUUUGAGUAAGUUGGAGUAAGUUUAGAACUUAAAAUUUGAGUUUUACUUCAAGGGUUAAAGUAGUUCUUAACAUGUAAACGAAAAAAAAAGACGUCUUAAGGCAGUAACUAGCUUGUAAGCAAGAAAUUAAACAUGUUUCCAACACGGUUAAUGGAAGAACUUCAUUACUGUUUCCUUUAGAAAUAAACCAAUGCCAGGUUUUGGUUAUUCAUUUAUUCCUUUCUCUCUCUGUGAGAGACCUUCCCUCUUCCCUCUGUUUGAGGGUUAUUCUCACCGAUAUGUGUGAGUGGUUUCCAAUCGAGUCCAAUUUCUGUGCCGUUGAUCUUAUCUCCGGCUAGAAUCGAUAGGUUUUCUUUUGUCUCUCUCUCUCUCUCUCUCUCUUCUUCCAUCCGCUAUUUUUUUUCCUUGGUUUUAUUGGCCGAUUUGCCUUCUUCUCUCCCCUCUGCUGUCUUUCAUCCAUAUUCAUCCAAUUUCCGAGCUUCAGUCACCCUUUGCCGCGAUUUGUUGCGGUGUUUCGAGUUGGUGUGUAUUGAUCUGGUGCUUCCACUAGGUUGGGUGUUCCUUGCACCACCACCUUCUGUUUGCUGUUUGCCCUUGUUGGCAGUGUUGCUCGUGGACUGCCAUGAGCUUCUCUCACUUGGCUGCAGAUUCUCUGUUGUUUGUAGUUGUGCUAGGAGUGAAGCUUGGGAUUGGCUAUUGGUAUCGAUGAGGUGAGGCUUAGUUUGGGGUACGAAUUUGGUUGGAUCAACAUGCACAGCUGUUGUUUUGGUGGUUGCAGCGACGGUUUUGGCGAAAGACGCAACGGAUCCAAUUGUUUCUGCGUUUUCUUUUGUUUUGGUCUCAACUUUUGGUUGGGCCACUGUUGUUUGAUUGUGUUUUUUGUUUUUGGGCCUCUGUGUUGUAAAUUUUGGACCUUUGUAUUGUAAUGUUUGUUGUUGAUAAUGAAUGACGCCUUUGAUCCAAAAAAAUUAAAAAAUGCACUAUGAACACUUUCCUUUUGUCUUCUUCUUAUGAGGUACGGUUUCCUUUUUGGUGGAUAUAAAAAAACAGCCAAACUUGAACAUUACCAGAGGUUAAGUGCAUAUAGUAAUCUGAAAAACUCGGUUCAAAUUUUAAUUAAUUUUACCAGUAGAAAAUAGUGGUCCGUCAUCAUUGCUGUCAGGCCAAUAACAGAAGCAACACCUUCAGGAAGAGAUAAAUAGGCCUGAAAACAGGAAAGACAUCCUCACCAAAGUUCACGGAUCAAGUGAUUCAGGCCCUUAAAAUUUGAUCAAAUGGUUAAAAACAAAGAGCAAUUUUAAAAGUUAUAAUAAUUUUAGCUAUUAAGCAAAUUUCAAGAGCUCGAAUCACUUAAUCUGUGGACUUUGGUGGAACUGAAAAUAUAGCACAAUCUUGAGUGACAUGCUACAUAUAAUGCUUAUCAUUAAAACAUAAAAAGCAUACACAUUUAUUUUCUGCAGGAAAAAACAAAGUUAACUCAAGAUCAUGGCAUCAACGAAGUUUGUAAAACUAUGAACACAAGACAUAAAUGUGUUGACUCCCGCUAUGCCUAGUCAAAUUCUAUUAUAUACUUUCAUAUUGGCUUAAAAAAAUCAAGCAACGAAACUUCAUUGAUUAUUAACUGAAUUCCGUUCCACUAAUCUGUACGUAGCCAGAUUUUUGUUUUUAAUUUUUAAAGUAUCUAAUUUGUAGAGCUCAACAAACUAAAAUGAUGUCAAAUCUUAUUUUCUGAUGCAAAAUAAGUCAGAAUAUACACUUGAAAAUUUCUCAAACUGCAGAAAUGAGUUGCCACAACAUCGAUUGUGCAUGACAUACCGAUGCGGUUCGAGAACAAUCUCACUUAAACUAUUUAAUGUUACAAUUUAAUUAGGAAAUUAUUAUUGACACUCCAAACUUCGUCUUAAUUGUUUGUCUAAUGCGAAAUACAUAAGAAUCUAUACUACAUUGGCAUUGUCCAUAUCAUAUUGGCCCAUUUUGUUUUUUGUUUUUGUUUUGAGUACAUCAAUAUUUUUACACUAAGAAGAGGGGGAGUUCGACAAAGCCAUACAAUGGGCAAUCUAAUUUGGUAUGGAAUUCACCUUCCAAGAUAUUCGAACCUAAAACCUCUCACUUUCAAGUGAAAAUUAAUACCCAGAUUAUAGUAUUAAGUGCUUGACCCAUUUUGUUUUGUUUAUAAAGUUUCACUGGUUAGAAACAAAACAUUACAUUAGGCCCGAAAAGAAAAACACAUAAAAAAACCAACAGAACCAAGCCCACUAAAAUGAACAAAAGAAGGCCCAAAUCGGAACAAACCCUAACACAACUACAACUAAAAUACCUUGUGGUGCAAUAUAAGAAAAUAAAACUUUUUUUUUUGUUGAAGAAAAUUAAAACUUUGUAACCCAUUUUAAAAAUCGCCCCAAACCUAAAAGGUAUAGAAUGUAAUUUACCCAAAAACUAAAUAGAUUAAAAAUACUUUAGUGAAUAUAAAUGAGUGAGGAUCAUCUUUGUGAGGAUCUUGGGGAUCCUCAAAUCACAUCCGUUCAUGGUACAUCGUGUAAUCAGAAAUCAUUGUAAAUUUUUUUAUUUAAAAUUGAAUAUAAAUAGUAUAUGGCAAAAACAAGAAUCUCCAUAAUCCUCACAAAGAGGAUUUUGAUCCGGAUCCGGAUCCGGCGAGGAACCUCUCUCAUAUAUAAAUAUAAGUAAAAUACAAUUUUUCAAAAGAAAAAGGGAAAAAAUGGAUUUUAAAUAUAAAGCAAAACCAACUAGUUGUAACUUGUGGGAGAUGAACACCUUUUUUUACCAUUUUUGGUAAGAAAAUGAAACCCACUAGUGGAAAGGAAAGCUAGAUAUUUUGUUGACAGCCCAAUAUUCUCACAUGCAACACAACACAACAACUCAUGGAUCAUUAAAAGCCCACCACACAAAUUCACAACAAAACCAAAUCCUUUGGACCAACCAACAAAAUUACAAAAUUACAAAAUUAAAUUAAAAAAAAAAAUUAGAAAAGAAAAAAAAAAAAAGAAAAAUCACAGAGAUACACACAGCUCGCCGACAUUUGAUGACAUACGAUUGCUACAGUCCAAAUCAGAGCCAUUGCCACCAAAUCUUUAAAAGUGCCACUUGUGGCCAAAUCUCGUCCAAGUCAAACAAACCCACUUUUCCACCUGGUCACCGCCCUUUCCGGUUCCUCCUCCUCCCAGUCCAUCCUUGCCCAACCGGGUGCACCCGGUCACACGUCUCACCUGCUUGCACUGAAUAAUUUACAUUUAUGGACUUCUCACCAACCACGCAUGUACGCAUGUCUUUCUAGUUCAACACCAGGCGCCGACGUCCCGGAAGAUCUCAGCCGUACAUUUCACAGCAAGGGAGGUGAUCCGUUGAUUUUAUCCGACUAACCUCGUCUUAUACAACCAAAUGGGUGGGGUAGUUCCAACUGAAUAAAGUCUGGAGAACCACGCGCAUUAACAGUGCGUGGACAGCACACUGAACAAGUUAGGCAACUAAAGCUGAAAAAACAGGCUCGGGUUUCCAAGCAACGACUGAGCGUCCGUACAUGACGUACGGCCCGUUGACGUCACUGUUACACGCUCUGUGCGGGAGCGUGGUUUUCGAUGCAGUUGAGAUCGUUAAUGCAUUCGUGUCGGCUUGUGGUUGGUUGAUCGAGAAAGUUGCUUUUCCCCCUGUCUGGCUGCGUCGGUUCUGCUUGUAUGGGCGAAACCCCAUACUCCUGCUGUGCUCUUACACUCUCGGUUGAGGAGAAGGAAAAUCCAACUUAGAACAUUAUUACAAGUCUCAUACGAAAAUAUAUAUUUGGAUAGGGAUGUGCUAUUCACACAUCCCAAAUUAAUUCCCACACAUCCCUUGCUAUUUAUGUCCGUUGAUCUUCUUCAAUUCAUCCGAUCCGACUGCCGAAAAUUAGAAGGGUGUGUGAGAAGUAAAAUGAAGUGUGUGGAUAUCACACCCCUUUGGAUACUCACUAUUGUAUUAUGUGAGCGUGACGCUAAUAUGAUUAGAUUAAUAGGAAAAAUAAAAUUUUGAGCUUUAAUCAAAAGAAUAAAAAUAUGUUGUAAGUAAGUAGUACCAUGAGUGACUUUUUAGAGUAAAAAUGUUUUUUUUCAUUAAAAAUGAAUAAUACCGAAAGUGUUUCAUUAAAACUCCAUAGAUUAAUCUUAGUGCAACGUUGCUGACAAAUGCGCUGCAGUGUGCAACGUGCCUAAUUGGUUAUGCUAUAUUUGGUUUGUUUUCUUUGUUGACGAGAUGCCAACAACCAUUAUGUUGUGAUGGUAGAAAGAAGGUAAUUGCUAUGUUUAUAUAUAUCAUUUCAAGUAAUUUCACAACAGUGAAACGAAAUUAGUGAAUUUUUUAGUGGAUAAAUUUUUUUGUAUAAAGUUAUUGUAUCAGACUCUUAAUAAAUUAAUAUAGUGUAUUUAUUAUGUCUGAUUCAGUAAGUGUCAUCUGCAGCAUGCUCAUGAAAUUCUUUUGCUCUUUUUUUAAUAGUGGAUUGAAGUGUAUUACGUGAGUACGGCGUUAAUAUGGUUAGAUUAAACAAAGCAUUAUCUCUACACUCAUAUGGUUAGAUUACAAGUGGACAGUGCCACCAAACAAGCUAGUUCAUCGGUUUUGAAAGAGGAUGCAAGUGCACCACGUAAGCAUGACGUUAAUAUGGUCAAUUUCAAUGAACCGUUAUCUACGCGCUCAUAAAAUCUUUUUUCCAUUUUAAAUAAUUUUACAAUAACAAAAAUGUAAUUAGUAUGAUUUGGUGGUCAUUUUGCAACUGACGCAUGUAGUUGUGAUUUGGAACGCUAAAUUUUGGGUUUGUAAAAGUUUCUUAGUUUUGUUUAUGGGUUGAGCUAGUUCAUCAGUUUUGAAAGAGGAUGCAAGUGUACUAUGUAAGCAUGACAUUAAUAUGGUCAAUUUCAAUGAACUGUUAUCUAUGCGCUCAUAAAAUCUUUUUUCCAUUUUAAAUAAUUUUACAAUAACAAAAAUGUAAUUAGUAUGAUUUGGUGGUCAUUUUGCAACUGACGCAUGUAGUUGUGAUUUGGAACGCUAACUUUUGGGUUUGUAAAAGUUUCAUAGUUUUGUUUAUGGGUUGAGCUCUUGUCACACUUCUCUUGUUUUUUUGUUUUGUUUUAGUAUAACGAUAUAUUUACAUUAAGGGGGUAGGAGAAUAAAUUGGUUGCGACCUCGUUAUUCCCGAGAUUCGAACUUAAGACAUCUCACUUACAAGUGAAAAAGAAUAUAACUAGACUGUAGUACUAACUAAGUGGCCACAUCUCUUACUUUGUUAUUCUAUUUUUUGUUAUUUUGGUGCAACGUUAACUAUGUUAUUUUUUUCUUCCAACUGUUAUUGUAAUAUACUAUUAUUGAACCAUAAUUGAGGAGUUUCUUUCUUCCUCUAGUUUGAAUUUUAGUUGUUUCUCACUAAAAUGAAUAUAAAUUAUUAUAAGUUCUAAACUAAUUAAGUACUUUAAAAAUAUUCUUUGUAUGCUUGAGUAACUGAUAUUCACAUUCUAAAAAUUUUAGGGAUCAAACUUUAAUAAAACAAUUAAAAAUCGUUGUGCACUCAUCCCUUAUUAAAGAGGGAAUAUGCAUGAUUUCGAUGUUACCACUAACAAAAUGCAAGAACAACAGUUUCAAAUAUAUCAUUUCAGGCAAUUUAACAACAAAAAGAAAAUUUGUUAAUGAGGAUUUUACCUAAAGUGAAUAAUGGUGACAAUUUAUUGAAGACAGUUGUAUCUGACGCUUAUUCGAUUGACAUGAUGUAUUACGUGAGCAUGAUGUCAAUAUGGUAUGAUUAAGUGAUCGUUAUCUACACUCUUGUAAAAUGUUAUUUCACUUUUUUGAUGCGUAUAAGUGAAUGCAAGUUCACAAUGAAAAAUGCCACUAAACAAGUUGGUUUGUGAUAUUUUGCAAGAGGAUCCAAGUGGCGGUUUUGCUUUAUAACAUUGGUGUGAUAUAACCUGGGGGAAAUCUUACUCAGAAGCAACCUGAGUUCAACACAGGGAGCUCAUGCGGCACCACCAAUACAUCCAACAGUCUCAAACUCAUGAUCGAUGGUGACCGCACUUUUACGAUCAUAGGCUGGGGGUGUCUAUGUAGUGGUCGGCCUUAAUUUGGUGUCGGCGUAAUGACUGUUUUCGGAGCCUUACGAGUGCUGCAAGUGAAUGUUCCAUAGCUUUGUUCUCUCAUUCAAUCUCGAGUUGCAGGUUAGAGGGAAAGAGAACUCCCCAAAGCAGUGCAUGAUAAUAUGAAGUUGGCUACUUAGGUAAAUAAGUUCCUUCUCUAAGACCUAAUUGCGCUGUCAAGGGAGAUCUUGAAGGAGCACGUCUCGGAUAGGGAGGGACUGGAAUUCCCCUUUUUGAAAGAGCCGCUUGUACUAAAGCUUCAAGGUGAAGAUCUUAUAAAGCUUAUUGCUCAACUCUCUAGCUUGAUUUCACUAGAAGACAUAUCUGAAUCUCACGAUACACGUAAAAGUACAACGGUAAGUCUGAACUAAAACGUUAUGAUGGAUAUGUGCAACGUGUGUUGAAUUAGAGCAUAACGCUUCAUGCCCAUUACUUUUCUGUUACAUUUAUUUUUUAGGUGGCUCCACUAUAACUACCAAGCUUAGUUACUAGUCAUUUUUAUCACUUUUACAUUUUGUCAUUUUAACCUCUCUUGCUUUAUUUUAUUCUAUUUUUUAAUUUCAGUUUUAAUGUUAUUUUCUUACUAGUGUUUUUUAAUAAAUAAGCUACUUAAAAUUUACUUUUAAAAAACACUUCUCUAGUUUGAAGGGAAAAAAAAUCAUUAAUCCAAUUGUUAUUGCACUAGAUUGUUAUUGCUCAUUAAUUAAGAAAUAUUUUCUCUAGUUUGAAUUUUAAGUGUGCCAGUAUGUCUAAAAUAAUUAAUAUAUAUUAUCAUGAGGUCUAAACAUAACAAUUAGGGGUGAACAGUAUAGUGGGUCAAUUGACCAAUCCACCCAAAAUAUGUCGAGUUGGGUUGAGUUCUAAACUCAAAAAAAUAAAAUAAAAUAAAAUUCAGUCAAAACCCGAUCACUCUGUUUAAUAGAAGGGUUGGGUUGGGUUAUAAUACUUUUAUCCAAUUGAAAUUGAUUUACUUAGUUAACAAUUCCUAAACAUACAUGUACAUCAGAUAGACGUUAACUUGUGCAUUUAUACUUGAAUUGAAUGAUUAAAUAUGAUGAAAUUUCGAUGUUAAGUAACAUAUAAAGAUUCUAACACCAAAUCUACAUGUUUUGUGCCUAACACGACCCUUGAAUAUUUGUCAUGCAUACUCACAUAAACUUGUAGAACCUGCACAACCCAACCCACUUAAACUAAUUUGUUGUUAAAUAAUUUUACGAAAAGCAAAUUUGUUGUUAAGGUUUUAAUAAAUAUUAGAUUACGAGAAUAAUCUAGUAGCUGACAAUUGCUACACUCUUAUUUAAACUAAUAUGAUGUUUUACAUGGACAUAAUGUCAAUACAUAAAAGUUCAAGAAUUGUUAACACCAGUUACUGUCUCUUAAAAAUUAGUUGAGAGAAAUUAAUACAUACAAUGAACGUUUUGGCAUAUGAGAAUAACAUAACUCUUAUUAGGCUGUCACUUCAUACUACGGUCUAGUGGUAUUCAUCUUCACCUGUAAGUGAGAGAUCUUAGAUUUGAUUCUCGCCAAAGACAAAUCUAAACCACAUUUUUAUUAGCCCAUUAUAAGGUUAAUCUCAUCCCCUCUUACUUAAUAUAGAUAAUAUCGUUUGUUAAAAAAAAAAAAAAACUCUGUCACGCCUUAUUUCCUAUGCAUGUAUUCGAGUGAUAAACUUCAACCUGUAAUUUUCUAUCAUCAAACUAUUUUCCAUAUUACAGAAAUGUCAUUAUAUAUAAAGUGAGAUUAUGUAUAAUUAUGCAUUUUGUUUGAAAAAUUUAAAGUUAGAUCUUUUGAUCCUUCGACCAAUGCCACGUUGGGCAGACAGCAUGACCAUCAGUCUCAAUAUAAAAUUUUACAAACUUAAUUUUUUUUGUUUUGAUUUGAUGAGAAAUACUAAAAAGACUUUAAAAAAUAAUUUUUUUUUCAUGAAUUUUUUGUCAACUCAUGUUUUUUAUACAAUAUUUUAUAAUGUUGAUAUGAAAAUUGAUGUUAAACUGUAAAAUGAUAGAAAAUCAUUUUAGAGUCUCACCUUGAAAGAAUCUUCUUAGCACUUCUCAUUAAUUUAUAUAAUUUGGAUUCCUAUUACCAUUGCAUGUAUUUUGCAGUUAACGAAUUCGGAUCCUCUUUGUAAGGAUCUCGAGAAUCGUGAAUCAUAUUCGUUUAUCGUACAUCGUGCGGUCAAAAAUUAUUUUAAAUAUUUUUAUUUAAAAUUAUAUACAAACAGUAUCUAACAAAAACUAACUACAUGAUAUGCGAUGAACAGAAACGAUUUACAAAUCUUCAGAAUUCUCACAAAAAAAAUUGGAAAAAGAUCUUGUUGGGCAGUAAACCUGCAGAGGAUUAGUUUAAUCACAUCAUUACAUGUCUCAGAGGACACUAAUAAAAUCUUGCCAGCAUGGACCUCUUUUAGUCACAUGUCGAAAAUACAGGGGUAUUACAGUCAUUUUAACAUUCCACCACCACUAACUGUCAUGGUUUACCUGUUAUGGGCAGUGCUGGUUUCUUCUUUUUGGGUUCUCGCUUCUUUUUGAUUUAUUAUGAUUUAUUUAAAUUAAUUAUAUAUAUAAAUAAUUUAAUUAAGGAAAAAUAAUGGAUGGUAAUGUUGUUGUAUGUUUGGCGCGUAUAUAAACCACCAACGGACCGCAGACUCAGAGGGGAGAGAGAGAGAGAGAGAGAGAGAGAGAGAGGAGAGAGGAGAGAUUGAAUAAAUAAAAGAAGAAGAAAAAGUAACCUCUCAAAUUAAGGAGGAUAGAAAAGUAAGAGGACAAAACCAAAAAAGGGUUUGAAAACUCAGAGAGAAACUCAAAACCAAAAACCAAAACCAAAACAGAGAGAGACACACAUACAGUGUUUGUGUGUGUGUGUGCGUGUGAGGGGAGAGAGAGAGAGAGAGAGAGAGAGAAGCCCUGAAAAUCCAAACCCUAUUCAGAAUUCCAUCUCACUGAUAACCCCAUUUGAUCAUAAUCUCGCAUUCUCCCUGUACAGAGAGAGAUUGAGGAGAGAGAGAGAGAGAGAGAGAGAGAGAGAUUGUGGAAAAAGUCGAGAUAUUUAAGUGAAGAAUCGAAGUGAUUUCAGUGUGACCGUACAAUGGAGCGGUACGGUCGGGCCGCAGAAGGGUCACAGUCCGAUCCACCGCCGGAGUGGAACAUUCCGGGACCCGAAACAGGGCUGGAAGGUGAGACCUUUCUAACCCCAAAACACUCUGCAUUUCAAUUUCAUUCGAAUUCGGCUUCGGAUUCGAUUUCGGGUUUUGGGGAUUGCGAUUUGGUGGGUUUUGGGGCGAAUGCGGCUCCGUUUUUCCGAAUUGGGUUUUGAUCCUUUGGUUUUUGUGAUAAUGCAGAGUCCAUGUGGCAGUUGGGGCUCCGUCCCGGGGAAUCGUACCCUGAGCGACCCGACGAGGCCGAUUGCAGUUAUUACUUGAGGACUGGGAUUUGUGGGUACGGCUCACGGUGUCGGUACAAUCAUCCCCGUGAUCGCAGCACGGUAAUUUUAUUGAAUUACCAAUUUUUUUCUAAUUCAAUUGGUUGAAUUUGGGGCUCAAUUGGAUCGUGAUUGAUUGAUUCCAGUGUGGUGAUUUCGUUUUCGGGUCGAAUUUUGUUUGAUCUUGUGUGUUAGUAGAGAUAUCGUGGCUUUCGUCUGUAGAUUUGAUGAUCAAGUUUACGGUAUUUAUGCAAAUUGAUUAGUGGGAUUGUUCUGAAUUUGUUGAAUUUCAAGUCCUUGUGUAGAAAUUUGUAACUUUUUUAUUUAUUAAGAUCUAUGUGGUUAAUGCUCAUAUGAUUACCUAUUUAGUAGUAAAGUUUGAGUGAUACAUGUUUCUCAGGUUACCGUAGCGGCAAGACCCGGAGGAUUAGAGUACCCUGAGCGAGCGAGCCAGCCUGUGUGCCAGGUACUUAACCUUUUUUGGGGUUUAGGCCAAAAUGUUGCCUUGUUAUCGUAUAUAUUUACGUGAUUCCAGCAGAUCACAUAUUCAGCUUCCAGUCUUAUGUGUUCCGCUUGGAGUAACGUCCUCUAUUGAUGAUUGCAUGCUUUGUCUGUUUUGAAAAUAUGUGAAUUCCCUUUGUUUGAUUGUACCGUGAUUUUUCAAUGGCAGUAUUAUAUGAGGACGGGGACUUGCAAAUUCGGUGCUUCGUGUAAGUUCCACCAUCCUAAGCAGGGAGGAAGCUCUGGUAGCCCUGUUUCGCUAAACUAUUAUGGAUAUCCAUUGCGGCCGGUCUGUAUUUCUCAAAUUUGAACUUCUAAUUCUUCAAAAUUUUGUCAUAUUGUAAAUCCCAUUUCACGACUGUGAGGUAAAGUAUUGCAACCAUGGAUUUUUUUGCAAAUAAAACAGGGUGAGAGAGAGUGUUCCUACUAUGUGAAAACUGGACAGUGUAAGUUCAGUGCAACUUGUAAAUUCCAUCAUCCACAGCCGGCUGGCAUACAGCUUCCAGUGCCGUCACCAGCACCUCGAGUUUCACCUGUACCUGCUACACACACAUUGUAUCAAACUGUGCAAUCGCCAUCUGUUUCAUCACAACAGUAUGAAGUAGUAUUUGCAAGGCCUCCUUUGCUACAGGGGUCGUAUGUUCCAAGCCCCUAUGGUCAAGUGCUACUUUCCCCGGGCACAAUUCCUUUUCCAGGUUGGAAUCCGUAUCAGGUAAAUAACAUUUCCUGCUCCAUUAUCUUUUUAGUUACAUGAAUUUCCCUUAAGCUGUUAGUCAUGUGGUGCAGGCACCUGCAAGCCAAUUGCCUUCGAGUACUCAACCUGGUGUUGGUUCUGGGACACUUUAUACUCAACUAUCACCUUCAGCACCUGCAUAUACCGGAGUGUAUCAGCCUAUACCUUUACCUUCCUCUUUUGGUCUUCCAACUACUAGCCAGAAGGAGCUUUCAUUUCCAGAAAGACCUGGUCAACCAGAAUGCCAGUAUUACAUGAGAACAGGGGAUUGUAAAUUUGGUUCCUCAUGUAGAUAUCAUCAUCCACCUGAAGCUGUUCAACCAAAAGCAACUGUUGUCCUUAGCUCCAGUGGUCUUCCUUCGCGCCCGGUUAGCCGCCCUUACAAAUCCUUUGCAUUAUGAUUGUUUUAAUAGACAUCGGCCAUCAGCUUGCUUACAUAGCAACACUUAAUUUUUGUGGGAAAUAUGUGCUGAAACAAAUACGUUUUCUGCUGCUGGAGAGUUGGUAAUUAUUUGGUUUGAAGUUAUCUAAGUCAGCCGUCAGGGCUAUCCGUAUCAUGCUAAUUUUUGGACCCAGGGUCUAUUUUGGGGAGUGUCACUUAAUUAUGGGUCCUUUUCGGUUUCUUAUUUUCCUUGCAUUUAUGUUACUUUUUUAUUCUUAUUUCUAGGUGGUAGUGUCUUUAAAGUCUGCUUGCGCAUUAUACAACUUGUAUAUGUUGGUUGUCACGAUCUUUAUUUUUAUUACUUAACAUGCUCGCCUUCUUUCUCAACAUGAAGUCUGUUCAGUUUUCUUUCUUGUACGUUCUUAUACUGUGAAUGCCUUCUUGGUAAGUUAUGCACCUUUCUUCUUACGCAUGCUAAUUUUUCUGCUGUGAAUUUGAAAUUCCAUGUGAUAAUCAGGGUGCACCCCUUUGCACUCACUAUCAACAACGUGGAGCAUGCAAGUUUGGACCCGCAUGCAAAUUUGACCACCCAAUUGGAACACUGAGUUACAGCUCAUCAACGUCUUCUCUUGCUGAUAUGCCAGUUGCACCCUACCCAGUGGGAUCAUCAAUUGGUACACUAGCCCCGUCAUCCUCGUCCUCAGAGUUGCGGCCUGAGCUUAGUUCAAGCUCUGGAAAGGAAUUAGUUUCAGCCAGAAUGUCUUCGUCACUGAGCACUUCGAGUGGAUCAGUAGGUUCAACUGUUUCUAAGGGUGGUGUUACCCCUGUGGGUGUCCAACAGUCUUCUCAGGGUUCCGGUCCUUCGGUUGGCAGUGGCAACAAUACAGAGUCUCAAUAGUUCAAGCUAAGCAAAUGUCAAGCAAUUUUCCAUUCUUCCUUUUUUAUCAACUUUCUCCCAAAGCAUCAUUUUUUCCCCUUUCAAGUCCUCCAACAGAGGGCUUCAUAUCUCAAUGCCUUAGCAUACAUCAGUCAUGUUCAUCUCUGUGUUUAUAUCAUCUUUAUACGGCCAUCCCUUUUAUCCCAAAUAAGCCAUGGCCGACCUCCAAAAGUUUAGCAAAAACCCCAUAUAGCUUUCCCAGCUUUCUCUUCAAUAACCUCGAAAGAAUCUGCGGUUCCUUCAGGCAAAUCCGUGUCCAUCUCCAAUUUUGGAGCUCGUUAUCCUCAUUUGUGCUCCAUCAUUUUUCAGAACGAAUACAUUAGUUCCACAGCAUUCUUGCCUUUCAAAUGACCGUGUAUUCAUGUCUAUCCUUUUCUGAAUUUUCCUUUUUAAACUGGGGAACGAGCUUUCAGUUAAAACAUGGGAGUUCGAUUUCAUGUUCCCCCACCUUUUGUCCAAGGUCUAUUUUCGAAAACAGAAGCAAAGUAAAGACCCAAAGAAGAAGGCAUCACAGUGGUUGCUACUCUAUGUGGGAUCAUCAUAUACAUAGUUAUAUGCUGUUGUGCCAAUUGAAAUGCUUGACCAUGUUAUUCAUAAAUUUUAUGUUUAUGAAAUACAAAAUAUAUGAAGAAGCACUCUUGACUCUGUAAUAAUCUUUCUCUUCCAAUUUAUCCUUCGUUGAGCGAGGAGAAAAUGAUCUUUGUUACUUUCUUUACACUGCUUAUAUAUAUACAUACAUGCCAAAUUACUGUUGGAACUUAUUUGCAGGUUGGUCAAUCUUGGUUGAAGGUUUAUGAAAAUGAAUGUGAUCAACUAUGGUCAAACUAAAAGAAUAGGAUGAUAUGUUCAUGAUGUUAUUUUAUUUUUUCACAUCAAGUUGCUUCUUGAUACAGUUUGACCAUUUCAGACAUGGAUUGCAUGAGGGUCAGACCAGUUGGGUAAGAGAAGUGUGUCUUUCCCUUUGUAUGUUAGAGUAAUUUAAUAUAUGUAUUGUCUUGUUAAUAUAUAUAUAUAUGAGCAUGCACUACCCUUUGUUUUGGGUACUUGUUGACUACUCUUCCAGUUUGAUAUAUGGCAGCAUGGCCCUUAGAUGAACGGAAUUAGCAAGUUGGAAAUCCUUUUUCAUCCCCUUUUCUACCUUACACUAAAUAAUCUACGAGAAAAGUGAUUUGAACUCUAGUGCAUUACAGAGAAUACAUUCGCUUUAAUCAAUGUGACUGUGCCCACGUUUGCAAUCUAGUUCAUCAAAGGGUACAAGUUUUGCCUUAAAACUUCUUCCAUUCUAAAUGUGGACUCAGAUUGAAACUGAUGGGAUGUGCGAGAGGAACAUUUGCUUUGGUCAUGUCUUCACACCCCUCCCAAAGAUUUGCCCAACUACCAUAUGAUUGAGCUCAAGAUAUUCCCAAGGAAAAAAGAUUUCAUUGACAUGGGGUUUAUAUAUGCAGGAAUUUGCCAAGCAUUCCAAACAGCUAUAUAAUGUUUACCAAAAAAAAAAAAAAAAAAAAAAAAAACAGCUAUAUAAUGAGUCACAUUUUCCACAGCCUAAUUCAUUUGAUGGAGUGACCGACAAAGAGACAAGACGAAUCCAGGUUUGAAGGCAAUGAACUGUGUUGGCCAAAAUUAAUGGAUCUCGUUUCAUUAUCUUCUAAACCAUUAGCUUGAUGAGCAUCCCUUAAGAGAAAAACAAAGGGACAAAAAGCACUAAAAUGUAGUGUGCUUAUGUAUCCUACUUUAAUCUUGGAGUGGACAAGAACUCUUGAGAUAUAUUUAGGAGGGGCCUUGUAUGUUACCCUUACUUCCAUAAAUUUAGGUGCAUAAAUAUAUAGAUUCUAGGGAACUUUAACGAAAAACUCCAUGUUCACUUUAAAGAAAAACCACAUUUUUACACUUAAAAAGUUAAUUCUGGUACUAUUCACUUUACCAUUUAUUUUGUCAUUUUCGUUAAAACUCAAAGUUUUCAAGCUCUUUUCAUUACUUUUUCCUAGAUUCUAUGCAUUAUUCCCUAUAUAUGGUCACCUUAUAAUAUAAGUCGACGGUCGAGUUUUAAUCAUUGUAAUACGUCACUUUCUGAUACGAGCGAUAUUGAGAGAAAAAAAAUCGACCAAAAGAAUAUAUGAGCGAAUGAUAAUAACCAUUUAAUCUACAAGCUCGUUGAAGAGUACCCAUAUGAACUACAACUUUGCGUAGCAUAGAAACUAGAAAGAAAAACAAAAGAGCUAGAACCGUUAUUGCGAAAGCACUAAUACUUUGCACUUGUGUGGCUGAGUAGCUUAGGGUAUGUUUGGUACUCUACUCAAAUCCAACUUUUAAACUCAAAAACAAUUUUCAAAUAUUAGGCCUUAAAAACUUGUUUGGUAUGACUAUUUUAAAAAACUGAACUCAACACUAACUAAAAAAUAUAAUAUAUUCUCUAAAAAUAUAAAAAGUGAGUUUUUAGAGUUUUUAAACUUAGAUUCACUCCUUUCUUUUUUCUCCUUCCUCUCCUCUCACUCCAAAUCUCUCUCUCUUUUCUUCUUUCUCUCUCCUCUUUUAUUUUUUUUUUAUUUUUUUUACCAUUUUUGUCUCUCCUCCAAUCCGCUCUCUUCAUUCUCUCAAUUCUUUCUCUCACUCCUCUUCCUCUCUAUCUUGUCCGAUCCUCUCUCUUCUUUCUCUUUCCUUCAAUCAUCUCUUACUUUCUUUCCUCCUCUCUCCUCUUUCUCCCCUCUCAUGCGACCCUCUCUUUUUAGAUCUCUUUAUCUAGUUUAAGUCGUAAGAUUUAAAAUUUUUAAAUCGCAAACCAAUCAAGUUUUUUAGUCUUAAAGAAAAUUGUUUUCAAGAAAUGUUCUUAAAAAAUAUUUUAAGAAAUGAUAAAAAAUUUCAAAUAGGAUACCAGGCCUUAGUGGUGGAUGUCUCUUUCUACAUCCAAAUUAAGUUGCAUGCAUCUUUUUGUUAGGCUACGUUGUCAGUUAAAGGCCAGGCAGAUAGCCGUAAAGAUAGACACAUAAUGCAGCUAUUAUAUUAUGCAAUAAAGCCAUUAAAAUAGUAGCUAAUAUUAUCAAAUACAAAAAUAUAUAUGUGACGAAAGACGUAGAAAUUACAAUGAAAGAAAAAGCGUUGCAAGAAAAGCUCAAGACACAAGAAAAGUAAGUGCACAUAGUUAAAUUAAAUGACUAAUUGAUAAAUCCAUAGGUGCACGUACGCGCCAAAAGUUUAUCAAAAGAGUGAGUGUCCAAAGCAAGAGAAUGAAGAAGAAGAUCCAUAAGCACUCGAAUUUUCGACGAUUGGAUACAACGCUCCCAUGCAUCCAUCUUCAGUCAUCAUAGGAUUGAACUCCCAUGGCUGCUGGUUAUCCCAGAAUCCAUGACUGAAUCCAUCAAAGCAAGAAAUCUGAUGAUCUCCAUUGUUGUUAUUAGGAGCUUCUAAUGCAGCUUGCACAUUCAUAACAUCUAGAGGAAGUGUAGCACUAGUGGAGUUAUUAGGGUUUGCAAAGCUACAAUUUUGAUCAAUGUUCAAAGCUUUUGAGUUUGUGUAAUUUGGGGGGUCGUCAUUGUCCGAAGGAGGCCGCAGGCAACUAUCAGGAACAAUGCAAGCCAAAUAGCCCGAGUUAGAAUUACUCGAAUUGCCAGAGAAAAAGAAACACUCAUCAUCCUUAUGAUGUGCCGAUGAUGAUGACCUAAUAUUAUUAGGGUUUUGAAAUUGGGUUUGAUCAGACUGAAACAUGUUAGAAUGAUGAGGUGGACUGUUUUGAUUGGUGAGUUGUUGUUUAGCAGUCUGAGUGGUGAAAAACUGUGAUUGCUGUGGUAAAAGGGUUUGGACAUCAAAGGGUGAGAGGAGAGAGUGGAAAGUUGUGUUGUCAGAGUAAAUGAAGUUGGUUCUUGCUUGUGAGCCUUUCAUGGAGAGGGCAGCUCUGUCAUAAGCCAAAGCUGCUUCUUCAGCAGUGUCAAAUGUGCCAAGCCAGUGCCUUUCUUUAGUGCUAGGGUCUCUGAUUUCAGCAGCAUAUCUCCCCCAAGGCCUUCUUCUCACACCGAGAAACCUCCCAGGCUCGGCCUGCUUUCGCCUUCCUCUUCUCUCACCGGAUUGAGAGGACGGAGUAAGUGUGCUUCUCUGCAGCACAGCAGCAAUAUCCACCUGUACCUGACCUUGCUCAAAAGCUUCGAAGGGUUUUUCUAGGGCUUGGGAGGUGGACAUUGACAUGGUAGAGGAAAUAAUUUCUAAAGAAAAUGUGAGUGAGUGCAGAAGGAUAUGAGAACUGAAGGUCUUGGUUUUGGUUUCUGGAUUUUGGGUGGUGAAGUUAAGUAUGUGGAAGUUGUGAGAAGGGUUUUAAAGACUAAGAUAUAUAAUCUUGGAGGAGGAGAGAUAAUCUCGUGUAAGUAAAGAUACGUACGCAAGUAUGUAUUAAACGGACGGUAUUUUGGUUGCAAGAAAUAAUGCUUAACGAGAUCGGAGAGGGGGCAAGGAAAAGGACACUCCAGAUGUCAUCCUGUGUACUGUGGACGACCAUCCUUCCCUUUCCACCUACUUUUUAAAAAUCUUUCUUUUUCUGAUUUCUAUUUAAUCCUACAUCUCUUCAACUGAAAAUAAUAAUAAGCUAGCACUUGUAGGUGAAAAAAAUGUGUAGAUUCCAGCAGUACUUGUCAAAAACUCGAAAUGGUCUUCUAGCUAGUAACUGCUCUGGGGUUUUUCAUUUUCUAGCUACAGUCACUUUCUUCCAAGUCCCAGUGAAACCCUAGAAUAUAAAUUCUCUAUCUAUAUAUAACUUACAAUUCACAGGGGUUUGGGAAUCAACUCAUUUAUCCCACUGUAGAUUUCACACAUGUUAUUAUUUAAUGAGUAAUUAUUACAUCAUGUCUGUGUAACUAUUGGGAUUUGUUUUAAGAAUAUAGGGUUUUGAAUCUUAAUGGGAUCUACUCACGUGGGGAGCUGCCGUCCAAUCUAGAUAAAAAUAUUAGAACUUUGUAGAGCAAACCAAGUUGAAAUUAAUGUCAAUGUUUGAGGACUAAGAGGGACUUGAAUCAAUGAUGACUGGUAGAUUAAGAUAAAGUUGAUGAUGUAGACACUUUCUUUUUUACUUCAUUACACCCGUUAAUUUAUGUUAUUUGAUCUUAUUCAAUUCAUUGAAUCGAAUAACAAAAAAUUGAGAGAAGCGUGUGGAAGAUAAAGAAGUGUGUGGAUAGUACCACUCAGAAAAAUAUAUACACUGUACUUGGCUCCUACAAUUUCAGUCAUUCCUUUAAACUUGCGAAUAACAAUUUGAUACAUUAAAAUCAUAAAAUGAAAAGUUUCUACAUACAUAUCAAAACAUGAGUUGUUUGCACACAAAAAAAGUAACUUCUUACACAUAAGGAGCUAAGUAUUUUCUAUUAAAACUUUCUCAAUCCUGCAGGUAUAAAACCAGGAAACGAAACCUACUGCGUGGUUUUUGAGUACCUACUCCAAGAAAUGAAGUUUUAAAAUCUUUUGAAUUCAUAAUGUACCAACAAAAAUUAUCUCCAAUAUUCACAUGUAAAUCGGCAUUUUGUGCAACCAAAUUCUUCGUAACAAUUCGCAUUUUCAAAAGGAGCAGUUAGAUUUUUCUCAACUAAAUCGAAAUUAUCAGAGAACCAAACAUAUUCUAUUGAGUUUUUUGGUCUGCAUCACGGAAACAACCCCACACCAGACUAUUAAAACAAUAGGCUCCCUCAUAAGGAAAGGCCCAUAUCAUUCAAGGUUUUAUGCUUCUUGUGUUUUGUUGAUCUCUAUGUAUAUAUAUGCUUCAUCUUAUAGGAUUUUAUUUUCGUAGCAGAAGAAAACUUAAAUCAUGCAAAUUUCACUAACCAUAUAUUUGGAUUUUUUUAAUGUUAUUAAUUGGGAGCGGGAAUUCGAACUUAAAAUUUAUUUUAACAUUGAAGGAGAUUUACUGCUAGAUAAUGAACUAGUUUGUUGUCGUUAUUAUUCAAGCUAGUUCAAUAAUAAAGGAUGUUUUAAAGUCCUGAAAAUCUCCCAAUUAAGUUGUCUAAUUUUUUUUUUCGUCCUCCAAAGUUAUGCACUUGGUCACGUAUUUCCUAAAACUCGUAUAAUUUAUUUUAAGAAAAAAAAAAUCUCUUUUCAUACUAUAAACUUGGACAUAUGCCACAUCGAAAUUCAUAGCACGGUAACAUAAGUUGGUUUGACUAACAACACAAGUAUUUAUAUAGUAACAUAACUUUGGCAAGAAAACAUCAUUUAUGUUUUAACUUUGAACUUAGUAUACAUUUGAUUUUAUAUCCUGAAUUAUACUAUAAAAUAGUUCGGGAUAUUAGACUAUCUUUUGCCACUAUUGAUCAAUGUAACUUUUGCUCCAAUGCUAUUUUUUUUCCAGUAUCGAAGAAGAGAUUUUGAGUCUAAAUCGAGCAGAUUCUUAAAUUUCAAACAGAGGAUAAACUAAUAACAAAUUUCAGUCAUUACCAAAACCUUAAUGGUGAAGUUUGGAGACAAAGGACUAAUGUAUACAGUUGGACAAUCUAAAUUUACUAUUAAUUACUCACAAACUACCUUCUUAAGUAACAUCUUUCAAGUAAAAUAUAGCAAAGUUGGAUUGAGACACUGGUCAUUGUUUCCCAACUCCGAAAGUAAUUGAAAAAAGGGCUAGGUCAAAAGGCAAUCAAGAGCUUAAAAAAACACUUGCAGAGCAAGGUAGAGUGAAUUGCCCAAACAAAAAUUUAUAAGUGGGGCAAGUGUAUUAACAACUUUGAUUAAUUAGCAAUUCCAAUAGGAAAAGUAGUCUUUAUUCCCCUUGAUUAAACCUCACAUUGCCCAAACGGCAUCGGGAAUGGCAUAAACUAAUCACCAUACCAAAUGGGUCAACCUACUUUCAGUUCAUUUAGCAUUUCCAAAUGUUGCAAUGCUUUGCCACUGGUCACUGUCAUGGUUAUUGUAUAAUGAACCUAACAAAUGCAAAUGAUAAUAAUAAAAAUAAAGGCGUAAUUGGAUUAUUAGUCUCCGUGGUGAUAAGGUAGUUAGAAGAUAGACAUGUGGUAAAAAAAAUCUAGGAUUUAAGCCUCUGUGGUGAAGUCUGUUAGGAUUUAAGUCCAAAAUUGAAAAUUCCGUCAACUCUCCGUUAAUUAUUAGCACGUGAGCCACACAUAUUAGGCUAAAACAGAACUUUCCGUUAAUUGUUAGCAUGUGGGGGUACAUGUGAAGAAUUUUUCAUUGUGACCGGAACAUGGAUGAUAUACCACAUGUUUUUAUAUAAGUGGUGGAAAAUUUUAUUUUUUAAGUUAUUAAUUUUUUAACACACAUAUCCCAUAAUUUAUAUAGUGACACGUGGUGUAACAUCCCGUGUUCUGAUCACAUUGAAAAAUCUCUCAUACAAGUGAGGCUACCUUUAUCUUCUUAGUCUCACAUGUGAGCCUUAUGUGCUAACAAUUAAAGAAGAAUUGACGAAAUUUUAAAUUUUGGGCUUAAAUACUAACAGACUUCACCACACGAGCUUAAAUCCUAAUUUUUUAUUACCACAUGAGCUAUCAUUCAACUACCAUAUCAUCAUGUGAUCAAUAAUCCAAUUAGCCUAAAAGUAUAUUGUUUGUCUCAUUACAUGUAAAAUGCUAUUUUCAUUACAUUCAAAUCGUAGUCUCAUACAUAACUUACUAAAUUACAGAAAGGAAGAAGAAAAAUUGUGUACACAUGUCAAACAGUAAUUUAUGUAUGAUCAUGAAUGACUCUUUAUAUAUAAAGGACCAAAUAUUUUUUUUAUAGAAAAUGAGAAAAGGAGGGCCAUAUUUUCAAAUAAUAUAAAAAAAGAUAGAGCCUUACAAGGGAAAAUAGUAUGAUUAUUUACAAUAAAUUGGUUCUUUUAAGAAUGAGAUGGACUCAAUUGGAAUCUAUGACCCUUGACUCCUCCACUAAGGAUUUGAAGAAACCCAAUAAGAUAGGAUUGUUUCAUGAAACCCCAUCUUAAUAAAUUGUGAAAAAAUGAGGGAUCUUUUAAGAAUUUAACAAUAGAAGAGCAGAAAGGUUUGGUCUUUAGUCAAGCCCCAUCUCUAAAAAGUGUUCAGCUAGUUGGAAAGGAUGGAGUGUGCUAUACAUCAACAUGACUAAGUACUUAAUAGAUUUGCUUAAAAUGAAACUAUAAAAAUAGUUUGCUUAAAAUGGAUGGGGUUGUAAUAACAAUUUGGUAUUAAAAUUGGCUAAAAAAUAGUAAGAGAUGGGGUAGGGGUCUCUUUGUGAGGCGGGUCCGGAUUCUCUCUUUCCUAUUUUCUCUCCCUUUUAAUUUUUUUUCUAUUUGAACGCUCAUAAUUAAAUUACGUUAACAUCUUAUAUUAGUUUUUUGUAUAAAACGAGAAAGAUAAAAAAAAAAUAAAAAUUGAGACCGCUCAUUUCCUUGUUCCAAUUUUUUUUCUUUGACAUGGGUCUGUUUUUUAGUCAAAUGAGAAUUUCGCACAUUCCCCAAAACAAGCACGACACGCUUUUUAUUAAGGUUAAAGGUUCCCCCGGGAUUUAGGGAAAGAUGGAUGUGUCUUUUGUUUUUAGGACUUGGACUUUGAUGAGACAGAGAGAGAGAGAGAGAGAGAAGUUUUGGGGUUUUGGAGUUUUGAGAUUAGUGGUGGUCUUCCUUAUAAUAUUCAAGAAAUGUUUUUGCACUUUGAUUGAAAAUGUCCCAAUCCCAUGUUAGAUUUUAGCCUUUCGUGGUUCAGCUACUUUCUACUUUCUAGUAAAAUACAACACUCUUGUGUCUUUCCACUAAGAUGCAGUCACACUAUGUAUAUAAUAACGAUAUUCAUUUUUUCAUUUAGCGUUUCAAAAAUGAUGAAGUGUUAAUUUAAUCUUUAAAUUAUCACUUCAGGAAAAUUAGGUUUCUGAAUUAUUUUUUUGAUAAAUCCCUAAAUUCAUCAAAAAUUGCUAAUUUAAUCCCUAUUAUUAUAUUUAAAGCUUUUUUUUUAUUUCAAUUUUUCGUUAACUUAAUUCACUUGACAUAUUUUAGAGUGUAAUACCGUCAUUUUCUCGCCUAUAAGCCCUUAACAUGUCAUAUAGGUUGUGAAUCUAACAUCUAAUUUACUCUCCAAAGUUAACUCAUGCACUAUUUCUUUAUGAAAAAUUACCAAUUUACCCUCCAAUGUGUAUCAUAUGCAAGUAACGUGACUUAAAUUGACGAAGAAUUGAAUAUAGUAGUUUCGAAUAUAAUAUUAGGGAUGUAAUUGACAGAUUUUUAUAAUUCAAGGACUGAUUUUUCUGAAGAAAAAAAAAUAGUUUAGGACCUAAUUUUCACUGGUGAUUAUUCAAGGACUAAAUUGACGAUUCACCCUUUUAAAAAAUACUUGGCAUUCACGAAUGACUGCAUUAUUUUGUCCACCUACUUACGAUUAAUAUAUUUUAAUUGAGUAAAACUUCCUAAUUGAAACGGUGAUUUCUUAAUCAUUGUUUAAAGAUCAUUUAUGCGAAAAAUAAAUUAAAUGAUAAAUUGUUUACUCAUUUGUAUGUGUAGAAAAGAUCAACCAUUUUGGAAACAAUUUGAAUUAUAAAAUGACCUAUAAAUGAUCAUUAUAAAAAUGAAUGAUUUCGAUUAUCAAACAAGUACGAUGAGUCAUUUAGUAGAAUGGUCUAGCGAUAUUCAUCUUCACUUACAAGUAAGAGGUCUUAGAUUUGAUUCUUACCAAAAACGAAUUUGAACCAAAAUAUUAUAACGAAACUACAUUAAUCACUAGUGGAUAGACAUGUUGGUGUAUAAGGUGGAUGUAAGUUUGUCCUUUUGUUUGUUUUGGUUUUUUGACCAAUUUUUUUUAUCUUGGGAAUGUCACUCUAUUAGUGGUUGUAUAGCUUGUGGGUGUAAUGCUAUUUGCCUGCCUAAAUGAUGAUUAUGUUAAAUUUUCCGUAGAGUGAUUCGGCGACGUGUAAUUUGUUCCUAUAAACCCCACAGUGCAGCAGACCACUUCUUUAGCUAUGAUUGUUUGUUUUAUUACCAAUUCAUCAUGCAAUGAUGACUGGCCUCAUGAGUUUGGCAAAUCCACGCUUUCAUGUCCAAAACCCAUCUGUCGUGUAUCCCCGAUUAAUGCAGCCUCAGAUGCUUCAAUUGUCGAUUCUAGAGUAUUGAGCGGGAGGUUACACCUAUGGGUUAGGUCUCCACCAAUAGAGGGCAUAGGGGAAGAAGCACUACUCCUAGGAAUCAACACACGAAAACUUUGUUAUAAAUUAUCCCUUUUCCUUAUCAGGAUCGGGACUAACAAGAAUGGUUGGGACAACAAACAUCCAUCUCGUUCGUGAGCUUGAUGGCAUCUAACUAUAACACUCAUAUUUUACAGAUAUAUUAAGGAGGCUUUUCAAAGUUAGAUUCUUCAGGAGUUAAUUGUCACAUCACAGUUUAACGUUAAUUUCGUGUGAACAUUAUAAAACAUUGUGCAAAAAACAUGAGGUAACAAAGAGUUGAUGAAAAAUCUCACUUUUCAGAGAGUUUCCUAAGCAUUUCUCUGUUUUACUAGGUAUUGAUAUACUAAAUUAACAAAUGAAUACUUAAGGAUACCAUCAAAUAUCACAAAUCGAAUCUAACACCAAGUUAAAUUAUUUUGAGUGGAUUACUAAACAUGUCAAGUUAGUAUUAAUCUUUGUUUAAUAAUCUUAAACAAGAUGCUCUGAUUUUUAAUUACAUGAAGAAAAAUGACUAAUAUUCUCCAUUUAUCCAUACACACGCAUUACGUGAGAAUAGAGGAUUUUUUUAAUAGUUUUCUAGAGUUAGGAUGAGUGUAUUUUAUUUGUUAGGAAUGUAAUGGGAGAUAGACGCUGGUGAUUUUCUAUGAUGCUUCAGAGUAUAAGAUGUUUUGAAUUUUAUAAAAUUACGGUAGAAUAUUUGUAGAUUUGGUUUAGAAACAAUAUCAUAUUUGGCUCAUAAGAUACAACACAAUGUAGAGGUCUACUAGUACAUACGGUAGAGUGUACUGGCUACUGUUUGAAGUAGAGGCCUACUCUGCAAUGCAGUAGCCAAUAUGGACAAUUGAUCAUCCAUCUAUUUAUGGAUCUCUUCCACCAAAUCCACACAAUCAAUAAAUAUGGGCCCUUGAAAUUUGAUCCAACGGCUACAAACAGGCGACCUCUUUAAAAGUUAUAAUAAUUUUAGCCGCUAGAUCAAAUUUCAAGGGCCCUAAUUUAAUGAUUGUGUGGAUUUGGUGGAAAAGAUCAUGAGAGGAUCUCUCCAUUUAUUUAUGAAGUUAAUUGGAAACAUGGCGACCUCUCAAAGCGUUUGCUGGUGUGAGGAUAACGUUGCAGGGAAGAACAAGAUCUUAGCCGUACACAUGCAAGUACCAAUGAGAUACGUAAAUCACGGAACAUCCAACACCGUAAAUGAUACGAGGUUGGGGAACGUGAAUGAACGAAGGCUGUAGCAGGCAGGUGCAUCUUCAUGCGGAGAGAGACUAAGGCCAUCUCCAAUCGAACGAUGGCUGAUGGACUAUGUUUAGCCCUAUAGCAUUGCAAGAAAUUAUAUUUAAAUGAACAGUGCCAUGCCAUAUUUUACACCAUCUCCAACCGAGGGUGCCAAAUGGCGAUAUGCCAAACAUAGCCCUUUGACAAAAAACUUAUCUCUAAUCGAGGGGGCCAAAGGGCCAUAGGAUGGGCCAUAGGCCAAACAUAAUUAAUAUAUAUUUUAUUAUUUUAAUUGAGUUAAUAUGGUUAAUUAAAUUAAACUACCAUAUUAAAAUAAGGUUUUCGGAUAUAUUUUGAGUAUCACUUGUAGCUAAAUGAAUAAGUCUCCGAAUUUUUUAUCUUUAUAUAAUCUCAAUCAUUUUUUGGAUAGGAUUUUGAGUGACAUGUAUCGUUAACGUGAGUAACUAUCCAAAUUUCUAUCUUUAUGUAAUCUCAAUAAUUUUUUGGAUAGAAUUUUGUUGAAGUUCAUUUCGAGUGCAAAUAUAAGGAUAAUAUAGUGACACAAGUAAGAGUGUCGAACCACAGGGAAUGAUAAACAACUUAGUAAAACCUUUGACUCUUACAUAUUAGCAUCAGUUAAUGACUCCUAUGAUUUAAAAUUGGGGGGAGGGGGGUUUAAGUAAUUUUGGAAAAGAAAUAAAGACAUAAAGAAAAGGGAAAAAUUAGAACUAUCUAAAAAUAAACCUAAUACAUGAAAUAAGUUAGAAACGUUUUUAGUACAUAAAUCUGACUUAAAAUGAGCUAAGGCCUUCCCCUAAACAUUCAUGAAUCAAUGAGAUGAUCUUUUAACUUAUCCAUUUCAAAUGCAUAACUAAGAUGUUCACAUAUCUAGCAUGGCAUAUAACUAGACUGUAUGAAUCCUCACUUUCCUUGCAUGUUAGAUGCAUGGCAUAUACAUCAAACUUAUAUUUG